UUUUUUUUUUUUUUUUUUUUUUUGUGUGUUGUGUGAAAAGAUGUGGUUGUGUACUGCCCUUUGUAGUUUCCAACUUAUAUUUGAUGUUUUAGUUCAGUAUCUAAUAUUGCGUUUGUAGAUGGUAUUUUAAAAUGACUAUAUCCACAUGCAAACAAGAACUUGUGCUGAAAUUUCAUUCUAGUUCAAAUAUUUCUAUAUUGAUUCUAAAUAAUUUUAUUUGUUUUGAUGGUUAUGUUAGUAUUUACUAAAACAUGAUCUUUUUGAAAUUUGAAGAACUAAAAAUACUAAAUAUGGGACAAUCAGAUGUUGGCAAUGCAUAACAUACCGAAAAGGGGAUGAUCUUGGACUUAUUCCAUGCUGCCACAGUUAAAGUUCGAUCUUAGCGUAAGAUUGGUAAAAUUUAGGAUUUUUACUGAUCUUUCAUGAAGCAUUAUGCCAUAAAUUAAGACAGGUUUGAUGGAUGCUUUGGUUGAAUCUGUAGGAGAUAAAAUAUCUAUAACGGUAGUCACUGUUAUAUACUUGUUUAAGGAUACAGAUUCCUUUAAAUGCUCAAUCAUGCAUGAAAUUUAGCCGGCUACGCAAUUGAUUCCUUGUAACCAGAGCAAAUAAGAAAAUAAUUUAUGUUUUGGACGGUUCUCCUACCCAUAUAGGUGUCAAACUAUUGCCAAAAUGUUGCCUGCUGACCUCAUGUGAUACUACUAUAAUUUUCUGUAAAAUAUGAAAAUGCACGUUUUGUAUUCCUUUUGGCUUGAGUGAACAAGUGAACUUCUCUAGAGACUUGAUUGGAGAGGGCCAUAUUUCUUCAAGCUCCAGUACCCUUAAGGUAAUUCUUCUUAUUCGAAGUUUGAUCGAAGAAAAGACAUGGAGCAAUCCUUGUUGUGGGUAACUGUAGUACAGAUUUUCUUAGUGAUUGCCUAUCAAGGCAUAGAUGGGGCAUCUGAUCGAGUUGAAAGCAUUCUGGAUUACAUUCCAACCGAGGAACGAGGGAGGACAGCCUAUCACUUCCAGCCUCCCAAAAACUGGAUGAAUGGUAUGUCUUUAACGUUCUUGGUUUCUUUCUUGCAAUUAAUUUCUUGGCAGUUCUUGUCUAUAAUAUUGUCACUUACUAUAUGUUUUCUUCUUGUGCUGGCAUAUGUUUAUGCAUACUUCUGUCAUUUGGCACUCUGGAAUCUUCUUCUUCUGCUGCCUUCUGUCCUUGGCUUCUUUCUUCUGUCAUUUGGCAUUUAUGAUGGUGAAAAUGGCAAUUGGGUGACAUGGAAUGGAACCGGUAGAUCCAAAUGGUAAGUAUUAUAUGUUUUCCAUUUCUAUUACGCAGUCUUUUGAUCUAUUUUCAAUCUCUGGAAGUCCAAAAUUUGUUUUAUUUUUGUUUCUUUGCCCGUUGAUCAAGUACAAUUAGACAGAUAGCUUCCCCUAUGACUUCAGGAUUUGCAUAUCAGAUUAUGAAGCAGCAAUUGGUAUAGAUACAUGGACGCUCCCAUCUCGGUGAUCACAUGGAGUUUCAGUCCAGUGGUUCAGUGAUUUGCUUUCGUUGAAACUAUCCUCCACAUUUUGAUCUGACAUUUUUCCAUUUUGUAUCAUGCAGGUCCAAUGUACUAUAAAGGAAUUUACCAUCUGUUCUACCAGUACAAUCCAUAUGCUGCAGUGUGGGGUGAAGGUAUUCUCUCCUGGGGACAUUCUAUAUCUUAUAAUCUGGUUGAUUGGAUUCAUCUUGAAGACGCUCUUGAUCCAACGGAUCCCUAUGACAUUAGAGGUUGCUGGUCUGGCUCUGCAACAAUUCUUCCAGGUGGAGAUCCUGCCAUCAUGUACACAGGAGUGGAAUCUACGAACCGUCAAGUCCAAAAUAUAGCAGUGCCCAAAAAUCUAUCUGAUCCGUUCCUUUUAGAAUGGGCGAAAUUGGAUCAAAAUCCUCUGAUGACUCCAGUUGAUGCCAUUGGUUCAGAAUUUUUCAGAGAUCCAACAACUGCCUGGCUGGGGAAGGACAAAAGAUGGCGAGUGGUCAUUGGAAGUGAAAUUAAUGGUCAUGGGACAGCACUUCUCUAUCAAAGUGAGGAUUUUGUACACUGGGCUAAGAGUCAUAAACCCCUUCAUUUCUCAAAUAAAACAGAUAUGUGGGAGUGUCCAGAUUUUUACCCUGUCAGUACCAAUGAUACAAAGGGAAUUGACACUUCUGGUCUAGGUAGAACUACCAAGCAUGUGUUGAAGGCAAGCUUUUUCGGUCAUGAUCACUACAUAAUAGGGACCUAUGAUUCAGAAACAGAUGAUUUCUUUCCUGAUACUGACUUCAUGGAUAGCAAUGUGAAACUGAGAUAUGAUUAUGGUAUAUACUAUGCUUCUAAAACGUUUUUCGAUGGAGCCAAGAGAAGGAGAAUAUUGUGGGAUGGGUAAAAGAGGCAGAUGAUCAAUCAGAUGACAUCAGCAAAGGAUGGUCUGGACUUCAGGUAGUUUAUAGCUUUGACUUCUAUUCUUUGCAGUUAGCCGACUUGAUUCACUCUUCUUUCUGCAUUUUCUGGCUAUCCUCUUCUAUUGUUUUGUUUUAGAAUUUCGGGAGCAUAUCAUUAAUCUGUUUCUCUAGAAGUUCAGGUUCUUCUCUCAGAUUCUCUAUUAGGUUGCUACUAUACAGUUUUCUUGAAAGAAAAUCUAAAUUUGAGUUUUGAAACAGUAGCCUUAAAGUCCUUAGACGCUAUAAUUUGAUUAAAUAACUUCUCAAGACACGCUUUAAAUCUGUGCAUAUCUCUAAACUUCAGCACGAGUGACCCAAACUGUGUUGUAGUCAUUCCCUAGAACUAUCUUGCUUGACAAAAGUGGAAAGCAACUAUCACAAUGGCCAAUCGAAGAAAUUGAGGGUUUGCGCAAAGAUGAAGUUAAUCUUCAGAAUAAGGAGAUAGAGGGAGGUAACAUAUUCGAAGUUACAGGCAUCACAGCCUCACAGGUAAAAGAAUUCAUCCAUCUAAACUUUCUGUUAUCUGGUUGAGUUGACUCGUUGCUGAAGAAAUAACAGAAACUUUUGCUGCACAGGCUGACAUAGAAGUCUCAUUUCACCUGCCAAAUCUUGAUGAUGCUGAGUUAACACAUCCCGAAUGGCUUGAUCCUCAACUUCUUUGCAGCGAAAAGAAUGCAUCAACAGGAGGAGUUAUCGGUCCAUUUGGCUUGCUGAUCUUGGCUUCAGAAAACUUGACUGAAUAUACUGCGGUCUUUUUUCAAGUAUUCAAAGGCCAUGACAAGUAUGCUGUGCUCAUGUGCAGUGAUCAAAGCAGGUAAGCAUGUAAUUCAAGUCCACCUAAAGUCAUGCAAAUCAUAGUUUGUUCCAUCAUAUGUUACAUAAUUUUACAGGUCAUCUUUGAGAGAGGAGGUCGACAUAUCCACCUUUGGGGCAUUUGUCGAUGUAGAUCCUGCAGAAAAAAUAUCACUAAGAAGCCUGGUAUGCUGCCCAUGCUCCAGAAAUUUUCUUUUGCUAAUAAAGUUGAACCAAAGAACACAUAGAUCCCUAUUACUGUCAGGUUUUCUUUACUCUCUGAUCUUGUAAUAUUGUGGGCAAAACUAUAUCUAUACUUCAACAUGAUCGGCAUAGACCCGGAAAUGGUUUACUUUAUCUGCAAUUCAUGAACUGAAACAUCUUUUUCUCGGGUCCCUUUCCUGAGAUUUUUCCUGGGCUAGACAAAAAACACUCAAGGGAUAGAUGUUUCUGCGUUUGCUACAAGAAGUGGAAAACUGAACAUGUUUCUGUUCUUCAGAGUCAGAUUUAUGCUUCACCUUUUCUUUUUUCUUUUUUUUUUUUCUUUUCUAUAGAUUGACCAUUCGAUCAUUGAAAGUUUUGGAGGUGAAGGAAAGACUUGCAUCACUUCUAGAGUCUAUCCAACGUUGGCAAUUGGUCAGGAAUCCCAUCUUUAUGUAUUCAACUAUGGCACAGAAAGUAUCAGAAUCGCCAAUUUAAGUGCUUGGAGCAUGAGGAGAGCUCAAUUUUUCCAGUCGUCCACAAAGGAAGAAAAGCCGAAAUUGAUUGAGGAAUAGAUUUUUGGCGAUCAAAUUCAAGAAAUGCUUCUGAGCUCCUGUUGCUUUAUGAUUCUUUCCAAUAUUAUCAAUCGCAUCUUUGGUAGGAUACCAGUAUGUAGCCAAGGCAUGAUGAAAUUAAUUAAUCCAGGGCAGGUUUGCUAAUAGAUACAUUGCAAUCCGCCACUGGUCUGUAAUGACCUCCUUUGUUACUUUUUCUUUUUAUUUUUUUUUAAAAUGAAUCAUUUAUAUAUGGCCCUACUCAUAGGUAGGGUUUGGAUUGGAUUUAUUUGAUUUAACUUCAUAUCAGACUUAGAUUAUAUAUAUAUAGCAUGAAAAAAAAUAACAUAAACAUAAAAGAAUUAUCAUUUUUAAAUAACAAAACUAAUAUUUUUAGAAUGUUGCAUGCAGUAAUUAGGGAGUAAAAGCAUGAGCCUCUAUCAACUAAUUCUAUCUAACGAAAAAUUUCAUUAAUUCCAAUAUUCUCUUCUUUUUCUUUUUCUUUUUUUUCUUCCAAUAACUUUGUUCCAGUCUAUGUUUUUGUUCACUUAUAGUAUCUGUGAUUUUUCUCCAUCGGCUUUUUUUUGCUGAUUUAUAUGUGCUUGCACUUUUGCAUGUGUGAUGGCAAAAACGGCGAUUGGUUGAUGUUGAACCUGUAGAUCCAAAUGGUAAGAAUUUAACAUUGGAAAUUAUGUUCCUUGGUUAAUUAUAAAGCUACAAUUGUUGUGGGAUAGACGGAACCAAAAAACUCUUAUCCAGCAGAAAAAUUUUUGUAUUAUAAAUGUUCAAAUUAACUAUCAUGCCAACUUUGAAAUAAUUUUAUACAUCAAUGGAUAAUAAUUAAUGUGAUAAAAUUCAUCAAGCAUUUCAUGAAUACAAAAUUAGACCUAAUAACUAAACAAACGUUAUGUAUUUACUUCAAAUUCGACGUGACACUUUGUCAUGGAGCCCUGUUUGGAUUGCCAUUUUCUGCCGGAAAUUGCAUCGUUUUCCAUGAUCACAUUUCCUUAUUAUUUUUUCUCUCAAAUGCAUCAAAUCGUUACAGUAAUUUUUUCAUGAAAAAUGACGGAAAAUACAAUCCAAACGGGAAGUCAAAUAAAUUACUUAUCUAACAAUGAAAACUACGCUAAACAAAGUUACUCUAUUCUUAUACUGAAGACAUAAUUCAAAUUUAUUAAAAGAGUAAAGGCCAUUAUUAGGAGGGAUAGAAACCAUAACAAAAAAAUAAUUUGAUAAGAAGUUAGAAAAAGAAAACGGUAAGACCGAGAUAUCUUUUUCUUUGCUCCUUUUCGAAAAAGUGACCCAAAUAUCUAGUUGACGCAUAAAUUCUCUUCAAUUAGACAUAUUGUUAAGAGGGAGGAAAGAAAAGUUGAUUAAAUUUACAGUUUUAGCAUUCUCUUUUUCUUAUCAUUCUAUCACUCAUAUGAAGUGCAUGUUACAUAAGGAUGUCAACUAAAAUGCUCUGAAUUCUAAUCUGAAACUUUGAUAAUUUACGCACAGUGGAAUAGUACAAGAUUUAAUCCGGUUAGCAAGUAAAUGGCAUGCAAAAAAUAAGUAAAUAAAUUAAAAAAAAAAAACACAUGCUAUAUGGAUGCUUUGGGCUAUGCUAAUUGUAAUCUGCAAAAAAAAAAAGAAAAAGAAAAUUAAAGAUGUUGUUUGCUUUUGGACUAUGCUAAAUGUACUUUACCGAUUUAGAGGAGAAUUGGGUUGAAUGGUAAAGUAGGAGGGAUUGUAAAUAGAGGGAAUUGAAUUGAAAAUCUCCCAUUCACCCAAUAUAUGUAUGUAUACACACACACACACUAGAGUCUAGAUUGCUUGAUACAGAAUCCGUUUGAUUUGGAGUUUUUUUUUUUUUUUUAAAAUACAUAAACAUUCUAUAAACAUGAUAUGUGUGAGGUAAAAAGAUAAUUCAUAAACAUUUCAAAAAAAUUCUAAAAACUUUUUGAGGAAAACUCACAAUCUACAGUGCUCUUAAUCUGGAUUAGCGAAUUUUUUUUUUUGUUACAUCAUAAACAUGUUUCUAAUCACCAUUUUAAAAAAAAUUUUCAAUCACAUUUUUAUUUCACAUACGUUACAUUCCAAAAGUACUACAUUUUUAUUCCCAAAAAAUCUUCAAUCCAAACAUUAAUGUAAUGUGAAAUGAAGAUAUAUGGAUGCUUUGCUUUGCAAUCUAUUUUCUGUAAAGUAAAUAUUGCAAUAUGUCUAUUUAUACUGACAACUUAAUCAUGACUUUUUUUUUGGUUGCGUUUUUUUUGUUUGGUGGUGCUGGGGGGGGGGGGCGGGGGUGUUCCAGGCUUCUUUGAGCUUUUGGGAAGCCAGAAAGGAUACUGUAGCAUGGAUUAUUUUACACGCUUGACCAUGCAUUCAACUUAUUGCUAACUGCCAAUUUGAGGCCUAGUUAUUCAUCCUAAUUUAAACAAUUCUACAAUCAGUUUGACAGUCCUUGGAACCAUGUGGAGGUUAAUUAUUAGUCAAAUCUUGAACUCUAUUUUAGGUUGCAAGUUGCAACUUGAUUGGCUAAUUAGCUCAUCGAGUAUGAUAUACUAUUAAUAUCCUCUUUAAUUCAUGUGUUAUUCUUGUAUGUCCAGUCUUUUUCUCUUUCUUUCUUUCCUUCUUUCUUUCUGCUUGGAUGUUUUGCCCUUCUGUUUUUGGUUGGGGUACAAAUUAGGAGUUGUUAGGUCAAUUUUAAAGACCAGAGAAAUCGAGGCUCCUAAGGAAGCUCAAUUUGUGGAAAAUGUGAGAGAUGAGUAAGUAGUAACAAACAACAAUGGGGUACUUUUUGGUAUCAAUUCAAUAAAUCUAAUGAAUGGAGGGGCCGCCGCCUAAUAUUUGAGUCAAAAUAUUUGGCACAAUCUGUCGAGAGCUGGUUAAGUGAUUGACAAGUUUUGGUAUGUGGAUGAUCAAUUGAUUUGAGGGCCACCUGCCAUACACAAAAUCUCUGAUUGCUGGAGACAAACUGUAAUCACAUUCCCAUCUCCGUGCUUCAAAAGUUUCUGUAUAGAUACUUCCGACAAAUCAUAUACAGACAAAGGGCGAUUGUAUCCCGACACUUGCCUCGAGCCAUUAGGGAGUAAUCUAAUUUUACCAAGUAGCCCAAGGCCACAAGAAAGUUUCCUAUAGAUGCAGCCUGUGGCUUUCUUGUACUCCUUACUUCCUUUCUAAUCGAAAUUUAGUACUACUUUCUUUUCUUGCAGUACUUCCUAGUAUGAUAAUGACAAUGAGUGUGUUUGGAUGGUAAAUCAUUUGAGAUAAUUUUGUGAAAUUUUUUUUUAAAAAAAAUAAAAUAAAAUACUGUAGCACUUUUUAAAUGUGAUGUAUAUGAGAUAAAAAAAUGAUUGAAAAAUGUGUUGACGAUACAAAUAAGUCAGUAUAGUCAGAGUAUAAAUAAUGUGCAAUCCAAACAAAUUGUGCGCGAGCACAAACACACUCAUCGAUAUCUUUGCGUGAACCCAAAUUGGCCAAUCAUCCAUUUUAAAAAUUUUUGUUUGUCGGAAUCCCAACGGUCAUUCGCAUAGCCCAUAUCUAGUGUUGGCCCAAUACGUUCUUGGGGUUAGCUACGAAGCCCAACAGGAAUUCACAGCAUUCGUGCGUGGUCCAGAUGUUUCCUUUAACGUGUUCUUAAUCGUUUAGAACUAAAAGCUCGAUUAACUCUCCAUAAUGUCCAGAUUCGACGGCAACUAAAAGAUAAUCAAUCGCCAUUCUAGGUUCUUAUCAUUUGGUUUGGCCUAAUUAGAUUCCUACUGGUUUAGUCUUGGAAAAUAUUUCAAACUCAAGUAAUUAAGCAUUAAGCAUUUGAUAAGUUCUCCAGUCAAUCUGUCAAAAUUAUUUUGAUAGGUUGGAAACCAAAAAAAUCAAGGGGCAUAUUGGUCUUUUAAGGGACCAUAUUAAUCCAUCUAACAAUGGUCAGAAUUGUUAACUUGCAUAAAUUAGUCAUAAUUGAAUAUUCCGGAAAUUAAUUUGAACAUGAUAUUACUGGUCUUGUAUUCUAUGGUGGGGCUAAAUCCACACCCUUAUAAUCAAGUCGAUCAAAAAGCCCGUAGCAUUUAUGGGGCUUAGUAGAAAUUUUUUCAAUAAAAAAUUAAUCUUUUUUUUUAAUGAAAAUGGAUGGUGCUAAUUUGAAUUUAAAAUUUACAUCAACCAGAAUGGUCUUAAAUUUUCCAACAUUUUUUUUUCAUUCCCUUUGAUGAUAUUUAUGUUUCCCUCUUAUUUGGUAGAGAGAAUGCUUUUCUCUCUUUUUAUCAUGUAAGAGGAGAUGAGAAGUUUUUUUUUUUUUUUUUUUAAAUUGUGUUAAAAAAACAUUUUUACCUUUUUGCCAUGUUGCACUUCAAAAUUGAUUGAAGUAUAAUUUUAGACGACACUAUCAGAUCAACAAUUAAGAAGAUGGUAUGAAAGAAUUUCAAUUAAUUAAAAUGUGUAAUUGACUUUUAAAACAUCCCUUGUCGUGUGAAUACCAAGUUUUUAUAUUGAGAAAAAAGUAUGUAUCAAACACUACAGAUCCUAUGGGCUUUGUUGUCAUCUUAAUGCUAGGGUUGGGUGCAUGGACUUAGAUUGAGGGGUGUAGAUUUAGUCCCCUCCUAAUCCUAUACUUCAACCAUGAGAUUUCAACUUAUCCACCCUUGGCAAAAGUAGCUUCCAUGGUCUUAUAGUUAAUAUUUAAACCUUUGCUUUUAAGUUACUCUAAUUGAAGAAAAAAAAAAAAGGUAAUUCUAUCUUAUAACGAGAUUGGUUUUCACAAAACAUCUAAAGACAAUUAAUGUACAUUAAAUUUCUUCACUUUUUUUGCAACCUAUUUCUACUUAGUAUCUUAAAGUAUAUCUUUUAAGUUUUUUUUUUUGAGGGAAUAUCUCUUUAAGUGCUAGGCUCUAGGGUUAGAAGAGCAGAUUGGUAUUGUGAUGAGAACUCUCUAACCUCUUAAAUACUAGCAAGCAGCUGCUGUCAUUCAAUAUCCUCAGUGAAUCACCAAGCGGAUGAAUCAUAAUCAAAUCAAAUCGGUUAACAAGUAUGCUCAAAUGAUGAUGCACAAAAAUGAAAUCUUGUAGGCGUGGGGAAAAAAAUCAAUUUAAUUUACAACUGGGGAAAAUAAAGUAAAAUUUCUAGUUUCUCCAACUAUUAAUUUGUAAACCAUAACCCGAAGGAGAUCCGUGCAAAUAUAAAAACUAUGUGCCGCAGAAGGAAAAAAUACAAGUCUCUUCUUUUGUACUUUGCUUCUGCUAUUUAUUUUGUUCAAAUUUAACAAAACAACAAACAUCCGUGAGGAAAAAAUGGAAAAGAAAGAAUUUUUUAAAAUAUAACCAAUAGUAUGCCGUCAACAUUGGCCUAAUGUUGGUCCACUUUUGUCAAGGCAACAAAAUUGGACAUGCAGGUAGAGCUGUAAACGAGCUGAAUUGAAUCGAGUAUUUCAUGUUUGAACUCUGUUCGUUAAGCGAUUCGAACAACAUUCGUGUUCAUUCGUUAAUUUUCGAACUCCAAACCUGUGUUCGUGUUCGGCUCGUUAAGCAAAGUUCAUGUUCGAGUUCGUGUUCGUAUUCAGCUCGUUUAACAUAAAUGAGCCGUUCGCGAACAUACUCGAAAUGCUCGAUCCAAAUUAUUUUAAGCCUUAAAUAUGCCAUAUAAAUCAUAAUCAUUCUAAAAAAUAAUUAAAGCACUAAAUGACUAAAUUCUAUUGUUCAUUAACUAUAUAACUAACAUUAACAUAAAAAUAAUAAAUAAAACCCUCCAAAUAUAAAAGUCUAGCCAUAAAAUUAACCCUAAAAUUUGUCAAGUGAUAAUUAUGCUCGUGUUCGUGAACGUUCGUUAAAACUCACGAACAUGCUCGUGUUCGUGUUUGCUCGAUUAUUAAUCGAACAAAAAAAUUCGUUCGAACUCUGUUCGUUUAAGGUUUCGAAUGAGUCUUUUAUGAACACGAACGUAUUGAAACAAACCGAACUACCGCAUAGUUCGGUUCGUUUAACAGCUCUACAUGCAGGUGACUCAUAAACGCUACUAUUCCAAAGUAACCCUCUAAGAACUUAGGGCAAAUAUUAUUGAGAAACCCAUAAUCAAGUUGCAUCCUCGAUGUUUUCUUGCUUAGGCUGUUUUGGAAUAUUAACUUCAUCUUUUGGCUCCUCGUCUUCACUGUAGGAAAAGAAAAGAUUUGAAUUAACAAAAAGCUUAAAAAAAUUGUAAAAGAAAGUAGCAUCUAAAUAAAAUUGAACAUAGAAACUUCCUUUAACUAGCAAAUCAAACAAGUCAAUAAAUUACAUAAACAAAUUUUAAAAAAUCUUUUCAUGAAAAGCUAAGUAGUUAGUGGGGAGUUAGCUGCAAACCUUCAUGCAAAUGAAGACUAAGUGAGGUUAUAAGAAAAAAAAAAAAAAGAUGGUGACUUCCUAUAAUAUUCCUUCUACAAAUGGUGGAGUUCUGGUUGUAAUUGAAGUUUAACGAACGAAGAUUUGGUUCGAGAAAACAGUUUAAAGAACGAAGAUUUGGUUCGAAAAAACAUGUAACUUCGUGUUGUACCACCUAAGAUACUGACUCUCACUCAACUAGUUGCAUUUUUUACUUUUAAUUCAGUUUUUUUAAGUGUUUCUUCACGCCUAUGGAUUAGCAUAAUUAUAGCAAUGCAAUCAAUACAAUUUUAAAAUCUUCCGUCAAUAUAAUAAUUAAUAUAAUUGUAAGAAAUCUGCUAAUAUAUUUAAGAUUUGACAUGCUUCCUAAAUGAUAAUUCAACCUUUAUAUUUUCAAAUCUUCAAAAAUCAUUUCAAAAUCUUUUCGAGGCAUAUUUUUCCGCAUCACCUUUUGAAUUUCUUAUUUUUAUUUCCUAUUUUAAGUAGGCAUACAGUUAUAGGUAUUAUUCAUCUUAUUCAGCUCACCUUGAACACCAUGAAAAAACUAUUAAUUGAUUGAUAAUAGAAUGAAAAUGAAACCAUUUGAAAGAAAUGACAGUACCUUGACAGAUUUAAAUUUUUUGACUCGAUUAGAUCGUGCUUGAUAUCUUCAUAUACAUCAAACAAAACUUUGAUAUCCUCAGAUCCAUCGACCAAUAAUGGAGUUGGACUAAGAUGAACAUACGACGUACUGGGAUUAAUAUCACCCUGGAUAUCUUCAUCUUUAUGCCCUGCGUACAAAUCUGCAUAACCACCAAAGUCUUCAGGCUCAGGCUGGAUAUGCAUGGAUUGUGCUCCAGCAACAUACAUGCCCGGAUUGAUGGGAUUGGGUAAAGGUUCUUCUGCACCGGUCCCGGCGGCGCUUCGAAGGCUAUGAAUAUGGGCCAAUUGGGUAAGAACAAGGUCCAAUUCAGCCCUACAAAAUUGUAUUUGUUUUUGCAUCUCUUGAAUGACUCGAUGACAGCCGCCAACAGGAUCACUUGCACGUAUAUUGGCUUGAAUAAUCAUUGAUUGCAUCGCACGAUGUCGGUCGUUUGGAUUAACAGUAUUAUAUACCUUCAUCAUAUUCCUCAACCCAAACAAUUUGUGGGCAUUUAGGAACUGCUUUUGGUGGUCGGGAGGGAAGUAUCGGGCCAAGGGACAACCCGGAGCACAUUUCCUGCGGUGGUAUUUGCAUGCAGCACAAGCCCUUGUGUCACUAGUGCUUGCACCAGCGGUUGUACGCUUAGUAUUAUUGCUAUUGCUACUGCUUGGUUCGGCUGUGUUGUUGAGAACUUUGCUCUUGUUAUCUUGGUGGUUAUUAGUACCAUUCAUGGUAGAAGUGGCAGUAAAGAUCGGCAGCAAAUGUGCCGAAGGAGGAUCCCUAUCUUUUCUCCACUUCGGUUUAUGGGAGAAAAGAGAGAGAAGAUCGAGGGAGAGAGAUCUCAGUUAUGAUAUGGAUGCGGGGAGAGGCAUAUGCCUAUCGUGUGUCGUGGGGAGGCAUACUGGGGCUACGACUCUUUUCUUUUGCAUUGAAUGGAAAAAAGGAUAUCAAUCAAAUAUUUUUGUUCAAUUAGCAGGCUACUUUCCUUUCCCCUUCUUCUCUAUUUCUCUUCUGUCUGCUUUCUUUCCUUUUUGUUGUAGUUUUUUUUUUUUUUUUCGGGUAAACCCUUUUUUUAGUUUCUUUAGUGGCAAGGAACAUGAAAUUAAUCUAUAUCACCAGUCAAAAAAAUCAAGAUUUAUUUUCUUUCAUUUUAUUUCUUACCUACUUUUUAACCUUAUUAAUCCAGAAUUUUACUAUAUGCCAAUAAGGAAGAAAUGAAAAGAGGGUGUUGUCUGCUAUGACAAAAGCUUUCAAUGGGGGAUUAUUAUUGUUGGCUUUUGACUUUGGAAACCACAUAAACCAACAUGUCUAUCAUGGUACGAUCACCUUAAAAGUUUUUAAAAUUUUAAAGCACAUGCUCUAAAGGCUACCAAAGCUUUAGUUCAAGAAAACCUCUCUUCCUCGUUACGUAGAAUACAUUUCCAACCAGAAUGAUAUAAACUAAAAAAAUUAGGGUGAGAUAAUGAGACAGUAAUUUAAGGUGAUAUAAACUAAAAAAAAAAGGGGUGAAGUUUAAAAGCUAGUGAUUAGAAGUACAAAAUUUUGGGGUUCGAUAAUUCUGAUUACUUCUUAUUCGAGGUUAGGACUUUUGCAGCUAAUUAAGAUUGUCCUUCAACAACAUUAUCCUUAUCUUGGUAGAUCUAGAAACGAAAUUUGCCGUCAAUUUGUAUGGUAGAGUUUAGACCACGGCCUAUUUGGACCAUGACUUAGCAUCUGCAAUUACCUUUGAUUUGCAUGCGUCUUAAUAUAUCGUUGGAGCCUAUUUGGACCAUGACUUGGGCUAAAACUUGUAGUACUCUGUGUUGUUGGAAAAGCUAGUACUAUAAAUGGGCAUAAUGCAAUGCAAAACAACAUGAUGGUGAUCCCGUCUUAUGACCAUAUCAUAUCCCUUAUCUUCACUGAAAUUUUGUUCGAGUAGAAGUUUAGGUACAGUUGAUUUGUUGGGAGAGAUUUUGUUCGAGUAGAAGUUUAGGUUCAAUCGAUUUGUUGUGAGAGAUGGUAAAGUGUAAAUUGGAGAAUUUGUCCAUCCUUAUAAAAGAGGUAAGUAAAAGGAAACUAGGAAGUUGAUAUACGGAUUAGGAUUAGGGACCUCUAUUCAAUCAUUGCAAAGUGGAUUUCAAACAGCCCAGGGCCAGGCCUUACCCACGAGCAAGAGUCGGACUCUGUGGGCGCAACCCGGGCCUAAUCUAGAUUAGUCUGAGCAAUGGCUCUCGAUACCGGGUGGUCUGACAAAAAAAAAAAAAAAAAAAUAGAGUUGUACAAGUGAACAGUUUAAUGACAUUUCGUGCAAUUUGCUCAAAUAGUAAUUAUGUACGCUAAUACAAAAAUAUAUAAAUCUUGAAUUUUGUAAAGUACCAUCAUAUAUAUAUUAGCAUAGUAUUGUACACUAAAUACUAAUACAAUAGAUACGUGCCCUAACCCUAAGUCCUAGGGUACCGAUGUACAAAACAUUAACAUUUAUUUAACAAUUUUUCCGAGUUUUUUCUUUUUAUGUAAGUGAGAAGUUUUGAAUUCGAAAUCUUUCACUUAUAGUCUCUUCUUCCGUACCAUCUUCUCUACCCCUUCUUACCCUGAAAAAGCAGGGGCACCUUACGUUCUUGAACCGAUAACCAUCUUUCGGCUAACCUAGCCUCCUCCGUCCCUCGGGACCGACAAACGGUAGUACAGGAAUAUUCACCUGUUGUCCAUCGACUACGCCUUUCGGCUUGAUCUUAGGCCCUGACUCACCCUCCGUGGACGAACCUUGCGGAGGAACCCUUAGGUUUUCGGGGCAUUGGAUUCUCACCAAUGUUUGCGUUACUCAAGCCGACAUUCUCGCUUCCGCUUCGUCCACCACUGCUGGCGCGGAGGCUUCUCUCUAAGGCGGAACGCUCCCCUACCGAUGUAUUUUUACAUCCCACAGCUUCGGCAGAUCGCUUAGCGUUCAACCCAUCCUUUCCUUCCUUUUUUUUUUUUUGAUUAAACAAUCAGAGUUGUUCAAUUCAAAAAGUACUUAAUCUAAACCAUACACUACACUUCACCAUCCUAUUUGCAACCGUAGAGACUCCUUAACCAUCGAUAUGUAUACUUGUCCCUCAAACCAACAGCUAAAUUCUUGUAUUAUUCUAGCAAACAGGUAUGUUAGCGACCAAGAUUUUUAGGUCUUGCUGGAUAGACUAGGUUUAAUUCCAUACCGUAUCGUUUAAACUCAAAAUUUAGGUCCUAAAUUUAUAAAAUGAAUAGAGUUCCAAUUUAAUGUCUAUAAAGCUUUAGUAAUAUUCUCAACAAAAGAUAUAUGGUGCAUUUCAUAAAUUUGAAAUCUAAAAUUUGAAAUCUGAAUCCAUUAAGUUACUGAAUUAUUAAGUACUAAAUUUGAUAUAUUUAAAUAUACAUCACAUUAAGGGAUAAGUGAAUGGUUUGUCACUUAUUUUUGGAGCAAGUUCUACGUAGAAGUGUCAUUUAAUUUAUUUAAAAGUUAUAUUUUAAGUUAUCAAACAUGUCUGAAUAUGUUAAAAUCUUAAUUCAUUAAACAUAAAUAUUGAAUUAGGUUAUUAAAUAGGACCAAAACGUUCAUUAAAAAAAAUUUCCCUAAAAAUAUAUAUUUUCUAAAGAAUAGGAAUAAAAUCUUUGUUGAAGAUUCAAUUCAAACAAAAGUCAUCUAUUAUUUUAUUGUACUAAGGAUUUGUUUAACGAAUCCCUAGGAGUACUUGUUAAUUGGAGUUUUUUGCAUUAAUGUAAUGAAAAAGUACGACUAAAGCCCUAUAUGAUAAUUCAAUUUACCACCUAAAGUUAAUAGAUUUAGAACUUCAUAUGUUCAAACAUGUUUGAUAGUAAGAAAAUAGAAUGUCUUAAUUAAUUAAGUAGCUCUGAAUUAUCUAGAUGAAACUUACUACUUUAAUAACUAAGUGAUAAAAUGUUCACUUAUCACUUAAUGCAGAAUACGCUCAAAUAUUAAUAUUUUAGUAUUUCAUAAUGCAAUAAUUUAAUAUAUUCAAUUUUCAAUUUUCAAUUUUAUCAAACGCUUCUAAAUCCAAAAAUUUGCUGAACGCAAUGCGAAAUAAAAGCUAAGAUUACUUGUAUUUAUAUGGAAUGUUGUAAGCGUUAAUAAGUGCCCAUUACAAAAUUUAAACUCAAACCCCGCUUGAGCUGACCCCGUGUGUAUUUGGAAUGCAAUGGGCUUGCGUCUAAAUUUGGGUUAUAUAGACUUGGACUUUACCCAAGCCAGUGAUUGACUUACCAGCCGACAGAAAUUUGAAAAUUGAGGCCCAAAUUCACAAAAACUGUGAUAGCUUGGGAUGCAUUUGAAUAAUAUUCAAACCAGUGACAUGUUGCCAUGAUCAAUAGACAAUGAAAAAAAUAGGGUACAUGAAUUUGAAAAACUUGGCCAAAUUCACAAAACUAUGAUGGUUUUAGGCCCCAAUAUUUGGAUAGAAUUGACAUUACUGCAAUAAUCAAUAAUCACUUGGAUAAAAAAAAAUAAAAGCUAAAAGAGAUGGGAAAUAAAAUGUUGACUUAUUAAUUACAUCUAUAAGGCACAGAGAACUUUCCUUAGCAAAUAAUAUUAGAGUAUAUUUUUUAUGCAUUGUCAGUAUAUACACAUGCGUGCGAUAUUAGGUGUAUGCCACGUAGUUUAAUCUCAAAUUUGAAAUUUAGUUUUCGUACAAAUGUCAUACAUUUAUAACUGCUAGUGUAAAACUCUUUACAUUGACAGUGUAUAAAAACUUAAUUCAUAAUAUGAGAUCAACUUCUCACUUAUAAUUUGGGGGCACACCAUUCAAUGAUCCAGUACACAUCCUUAAAUUCACACACUUAUCAGGAUGAAAACUAGACCAUCAUGCUCUCUUAUGUUCCUUUUUUUUUUCUUUCUUCUUUUUCUCUCGGGCUAGUAUUUUCAUUAUUUUCUAAACCUUGGAAACUAGGCCUUCCGCUUACAUUUAAAAAGAAAUAUAUUUUUAAAAAAUAAGUAUUAAUCCUCGUCAAUAUGUCAAUUUUCUCUAGCCUACUUAGUGGCUCCCUGAUUAUUCAGAAGUGCAAGAAGUUCCAUCUUGACAUAGAAUUGAUUCAACAUUGAUACCAAGGUAACUAAGCCAGAAAAUUGCAAGUCUAUAGCUGAAAUACAUUUGUUUUAGCUCACGGACAUAGAAUUGAUUCAAUAUUGAUGCCAAACUAACCCCAAAAAUUGCAGAUCUAUUGCUGAAAUACAUUUGUUAUAGCUUGAAAACAAAUUUGUUUUACCGUCAAUUUGUAUUGUAGAGUUUAGACCACAGCCUAUUCGGAAAUUGGACCAUGACUUAGCAUCUGCAAUAACGAUUAAUACCUUUGAUUUGCACACGUCUUAAUAUAUCCUUGGAGCCUAUUUGGACAAUGACUUAUGCUAAAACUUGCAGUCCUCUGUGUUGUUGGAAAAGCUAGUACUAUAAAUAGGCGGGAAAAAUGCAGUUUUCAUCCCGAGUGUUUGGGUGAGAGACUAAUUUCAUCCUCAAAAUUUUAGUAAUAGCACAUUUAAUCCUCAAUCAUUGUCAAUUUUGGUCAAUUUAGGACAAUUGAUAGAAAACUCUUGACAUUGGACGGAAAGUAGUCACAUGAGGUACAUGCUCCGUUAGUGUAAUUUAUUGCAGCCAACAAAAAAAAGGAAAAAUUGUCUUCUUUCUCAUUAUUUUGUCCUUUUUUAACAAUAAAGAAUUUUUCCAAUAUUCUCACUGUCGUCAAUCGGACAAUCAGCUGACUACUGGUUAGAAGAUCGGUGAAAGUGGACCCAUGAAGAACCCCAUUGAAGAAAAAUGUCCUUACAAAAAAAGAAACUAAAUGAUCGGUCACCCCCAAAACAGGGAUCUCAUUGUAAUCAUAUUGAACAUUGCUAUAUGUAAAAUAGGGAUUAGCUCAUUGUUCACUUUGGAUUUACUUUUUAUUUAUGGUCCCCAACUCAAUAGGACCAUUUAGAAGAUUAUAAAUGAUGGUGUCAAUUUGCUCCAUUGGUUUUCAUAAUCCUCUAUCUUGCUUUCUCUGGUUUUCAUAAUCCUCUGUCUUGCCUUCUUUUAUUUUUUUUUCUACAACUCAUUAAGAAUAUAUAUACGUGUAACUAUUAUCAGAAUUAAGAUUGCAAUUGUACAAAAUUGGGAACAAAUUGUGUGACCAGAAUCAUAUGUCAAAAUUGAGAUUUUAGCAAGUUUUCAUACACAAAAUAGCUUCUUUAGAAACAGAAAAUGUCCACUUCGUACGCAAAACGUACAUAAUUGAUCAAUCAACAGCUGGUUUUCAUACUUCUCUGCCGCUACUUCAAUCUACAUUUAUCCUAAAUCCUACCUCUUACAAACAAAGGAUUAUCCAACUAGCAUUCUAGCAAACACAUUUGUUUCCACAAAAUACAAUCACAGCCUGGCAAAUUUAGCAAGAUUUCAUACUAGACUUGGCAACAACUUGCCCCAGUUUCUAUUUGCUUUGCCUGUUCUCCUCCAACUCAAAACCAACAACACCAUUAAGACCACAAUAAUGUCAAUGAAAAUUUUCUCCCUCUUUCAUAUCUUUUCAACUAUUUCUUUCAACUUAUUCACCUUUUAUGGUAAACCAGCUAUAAGUACCCUUCCUCUUGGACCAAUUUCCUCUUCAGCCUAUCAAAAUACUUGCACCUGUCGAGCCUCUAAUAAAACAUGAUUCAAAAAUUUGUUAAAAUCAAAGUUUUACUGGUGUGUCAAUAAUACAAUGAGUUCUUACCGGCCACAAAGAACAACCAAGAAUCUUUUUUCGAAUUGUCUCCUCGCUAAGAAGUUGUUAGUUUUGUCCUUAACUCACAAUUGCAGACAGGUAUUGAUGAAAUCGAAGAAGCAGAACUUCUACUUCUUAUUUUAGCACUCUAGGUUCUCUAUGCCUCCGCUAUUAUAGGUAGAAUAAUAGGUAUUUACCAUGGUGAAACUUUGCCUGCAAAACUUAGGGCUAGAAAAAACAGAGCAUAUACUCAAGAAAUGAGAAAUGAAUGAAAAAAGAAGAUAGUUUUUCCCAUUUUAUUGGCUGCAAUAAAUUAAACUAACAGAGUAUGCUUCUCACGUGACUACUUUCCAUCCAAUUUCAAGAGUUUUUUGUCAAUUGUCCUAAAUUGAUCAAAAUUGAUAAUGUUUGAGGAUUAAAUGUGUUCUUGUUGAAACUUUGAGGACGAAAUUGGUCGCUCACCCAAACAUUGGGGGGGAUGAAAAGUGUAUUUUUCCCAUAAAUAGGCAUAAUGCAAUGCAAAAUAAUAUGAUGGUGAUCCCGUCUUAUGACCAUAUCAUAUCCCUUAUCUUCACUGAAAUUUUGUUCGAGUAGAAGUUUAGGUUCAAUCGAUUUCUUUGGACAGAUGGUAAAGUGUAGAUUGGAGAAUUUGUCCAUCCUUAUAAAAGAGGUGAGUGAAAGGAAACUAGGAAGUUGAUAUACGGAUUAAGGACCUCCAUUCGAUCAUUGCAAAGUAGAGUUGUUUAACGAAUCCCUAGGAGUACUUGCUAAUUGGAGUUUUCUGCGUUAAUGAAAUGAAAAAGUACGACUAAAGCCCUAUAUGAUAAUUCAAUUUACCACCUAAAGUUAAUAGAUUCAAAACUUCAUAUGUUCAAAUGUGUUUGAUAAUAAAAAAAAUAAAACGCCUUAAUUAAUUAAAUGGUUCUGAAUUAUUCAGAUGAAACUUAAUACUUUAAUAACUAAGUGAUAAAAUAUUCAUUUAUCACUUCAUGUAGAAUAUACUCAAAUAUUAAUAUUUUAGUAUUUCAUAAUGUAAUAAUUUAACAUAUUAAAAUUUCAAAUUUUAAUUUUAUCAAACGCCUCUGAAGCCAAAAAUUAGCUGAAUGCAAUGCGAAAUGAUAGCUAUGAUUAAUUGUAUCUAUAUGGAAUGUUGUAAGCGUUAAUAAGUGCCCAUUACAAAAUUAAACUCAAACCCCGCUUGAGCUGACCCCGGUGUGUAGUUGGUAUGCAAUGGGCUUGCGUCUAAAUUUGGGUAAUAUAUGGACUUGGCUUUUCCCAAGCCAGUGAUUGACUUACCAUUUGACAUGAAUUUGAAAAUUGAGGCCCAAGUUCACAAAAAAUUGUGAUAGCUUGGGCUGCAUUUUAAUAAUAUUCAAACCAUUGACAUGUUGCCAAGAUCAAUAGACAACGAAAAAAGUAGCGGCCAUGAAUCCAAAUUCACAAAACUAUGAUGGUUUUAGGCCGCAAUAUUUGGAUAGACACAAACAAUUGACAUUACUGCGAUAAUCAAUAAUUACUUGGAUUAAAAAAAAUAAAAGCUAAAAGAGACGGGAAAGAAAAUGUUGACCUAUUAAUUACAUGUAUAAGGCACAAACAACUUCCCUUAGCAAAUAAUAUUAGGAUAUAUUUUGUAUACAUUAUCAGUAUAUACACAUGCGUGCGAUAUUAGGUGUAUGCCACGUAGUUUAAUCUCAAAUUUGAAAUUCAGUUUUCGUACAAAUGUCAUACAUUUACAGUUACUAGUAUAAAACCUUUACAUUGACAGUGUCUAAAAGCUUAAUUCAUAAUAUGAGAUCAACUUUUCACUUAUCAUUUGGGGCACACCAUCCGGUGAUCCAAUACACAUCCUUAAAUUCACGCACUUAUCAGGAUGAAAACUAGGACAUCAUGCUCUCUUAUGUUCCUUUUUUUUUCUUUCUUCUUUUUCUCUCCAUGCUAGUGUUUUCAUUAUUUUCUAAACUUUGGAAACUAGGCCUCAAAUUUUUAGUUGCUAACGACCUAGACAGGAAAAAAUUGACCAACCACUAAGGACUUCCAUUCCAUGUAAAUGAUUGGCCUCAAUUUUUAAUGUACUAAUGUACCUUGGUGCUAAGAUAAACAAAAUUUCAGUGUGCUUGAGAUAAAGGAAACAAGUACUAAUUUGGUUGGGGGGGAAGGGUUGUGUAGUUUGGGGAGAGGGAGUAUAAAUAAGAGAUCUUUGUUUCAAGCCUUCCGCUUACACUUAAAAGAAAUCUAUUAGAAAAAACAAGUAUUAAUCAUAGUCAAUAUGUCAAUUUUCCCCAGCCUACUUUGUGGUUCCCUAAUUAUUCAGAAGUGCAAGAAGUUCCAUCUUGACAUAGUAUUGAUUUAACACUGAUACCGAGGUAACUAAGCCAGAAAAUUGCAACAGCCUACUUAGUGGGUUCCCUAAUUCUCCAGAAGUGCAAGAAAUUCCAUCUUGACAUGGUUAUGAUAGUUAGUGGGUUCCCUGAUUCUCCAGAAGCGCAAGAAGUUCCGUCUUGACAUAGAAUUUAUUCAACAUUGAUACCGAGGUAACUAAGCCGUCUUGACAUAGAAUUUAUUCAACAUUGAUACCGAGGUAACUAAGCCAGAAAAUUGCAAGAAGUUCCGUCUUGACAUAGAAUUGAUUCAACAUUGAUACCGAGGUAACUAAGCCAGAAAAUUGCAAGUCUAUUGCUGAAAUACAUUUGUUUUAGCUCAUGAACAUAGAAUUGAUUCAAUAUUGAUACCGAGCUAACCCCGAAAAUUGCAGGUCUAUUGCUGAAAUACAUUUGUUUUUAGCUUGAAUACACUUUUGUUGGUUAGUAUCAUCCUUGACUCUUGUGGUUGGGAGGUAGGGUUACAAACACUCAAGUAUACUUCCAAAGAAUGUAGCAUACAUUGUUAAUAUUGACCAUUUCAGUAAUCAACAAAUUGAAACCAACAUUGCAAAGGAGGAUAAGAAUACGAGUAGAUGCAGACCAAGCCAAGGAUGACUAAAAAUUCGCCACUAAGUUCCUGGACCAAUUCCCAUUCCAGCAUGGCACUUCCUACCACAUCCUGUCGACGUCAAAUUUGUUGUAACCAUUUGCACAGCUAUUUCAUUGAAUCCGUCUUAUUUCCAAGACAAAAAUAAUUUAUCUUAGUAAUUAGAAGACUGGAUACGAUCCAAAGACCACAUGUUUGGAUCACAUGACUUGUCACUGAGUUGAAGUUUCCUAAGCAGUUUUUCUUGCUGACGAGACACCAUAACAACACAAAACAAAAGUUUAUUACUUUAGCAGCAAAAGUGAAGGGAUAGUUAACUGUACGUGGUGGAAUAAGGAAGAAAUGAGAGCUAUAGCACUUGCAAGUAGAAAAAGGCCGUCCGAAAAGAUAUGACCUGAUCCACAGCCAACAUUAGCUGAUAUCACUCAAAUGCAGAUUGGAGACAUUUAUUCAAAGCCUCCAAAAAAUGGUAGAAGAUGGACCAUAUGAAUGUGUCUGACUAUUACACAUAUGAGAUGGGAAAUGUUUUCCUGAUAUCACAAUCAUAAAGCAUGAAAGAAUGUAAUGGAGAGACUUAAUCUCGCACCAAAAGCUGCAAUAACCAUAAAUAAUUUGACUUACAAAUUGUGACUAAAAAUAAAGCUUUAAAGAUUUUGCUCUCAACCGUGAGUAUUAACGGCUUCCCAGACUAGAUUCUUUGGAACAGGCUUGGUGAAAUCACGAGCCUGCAAUGCUGCAUUUCUAAGUGUCUUGCACGUCAUCACGUUGGCCUCCCAAAAUGAUGCAGCAUUAUAGGGCAAACCAUGCUUCUUGCAGAGCUCCUUUACAAAAGGUGAAAUUUUCCGAAGUUGGCAUCUGGGCAACCUGGGAAACAAAUGAUGCUCGGUCUGAAAUUGCAAGCCACCAUGAAACCAAUCCAUCCAGGACGGGCACAAAAUAUCAAGAGUUCCACUAGUUUGCUUCUCAAACCAAUCAUGUCCAGUAGGUGGCCCAACAUAAACGCUAGUGGAGAAAUGGUUCAAGCAAAAUUGAACAUGCUGAAUUCCAGUUACCGAGAAACUAGCCACAACAAACAUUAGCCUUUCACCCCAGUUGGGCAAACAAGACACCAGAAGUGGGUACCAAAUCCAAAAUACAAGCAGCCCCAAGAGCUCCUGACCCCUUCGUGGCACGCUUCUCUUGGACGACGACAACAAUAUAAAUGAUUGAGCAAACAAAUUGAUUCUAGCAAAACACAUAACAGGAUAAAAUGUCCAAUGCUGAUUACUAACUAGGAACCUAGCAACUGAAUCAAAAGCCAUCUUCCUCUCAUAAAAAUAAGAAGUGAGUGAAUUGAAAAGCUUGGGAGAUACCGCAAAGAAAGGCAUGUGUUGAAGAUCAGGGUCAAAUUCAAGACUGUUGCAAGCAAUGUGAUGAGCAUUAUGGUUCCACUUCCACCAAGCAAUACUGAUUCCUGCAAGACAAUUCCCACUCAGGAUCUGAGCGAAUCGGUUGAUGCCACGAGUCGUCAUUACCUGAUAAUGCCCUGAAUCAUGCCCAAUCCACCCACUCUGAAUCCAAAGGAACCCCAUCAAUCCACCACAAAUCAAAUGAACCAAAACCCUUUCACAGCAUAAAACACCAUAGACACUCAAACAGAACAGCACUGCCAUGAAGCACAUGCUCAAUAAAACCCCGUGCCCUUUCUGCUCAAACAAUCCCAUUUUGUUAAACUCAUAAACGAGCUUCCUGUAAUCCUUAGACACCUCAGAGACAGAAUAGUCUUUCAGAUAAAACCCAUUAAAGAACUUAUCGAGGAACUUCCAGGCUGUACCUGGAUGAAAUGCUACAAAGGCAUCAGUCGCAUCUUGGCCUGAAAGAUUCAAGAGUGGGAAUGCACCACCUGGAUGUUCUUUCACCCAAUCUGAGACAUCAUAAAUCUUGCCCUGAAUGGAGAUCCACAGAUCCCCUGGUUUGUUAUGCUUCUUGAGCUCAUCAGAGGUAAUGUAGCUCUUAGAUUCAGCCAUAGAUCCAAGAAGGGAACACAAUUAAAAGUCCAAACCUUUUUAGUAGUAAAAUGAGAAAGGGAUCCGAGAAGAACCCUUUUGUUUCUUCUCUUUCCCCCUUUCUUGAACUGAAGAAAAUGCGAAAAAGUAGAAGAAAUUUUUUAGGUCAUUGGAAGAAGGACGGAGGAAGGAUCACUUCUUAGAGCGAAGCGGGGUGAGGCGGAGUGUGAUUGCACAAGUGAAGAUAUCUGAUAUAGGGUGUGGGGAUUUAAGAAGCGCCACAGAAUGCUUUAAAUGGAUAUAUGUCAUGUUCAACAAAAGCAGAGGAGAGUGGGCGUCAGCUGUGCAAAUAACAAAUCAGAAUGGCAUCAUGAUUUACAAAAUCUUUGCCCUUACUAAAUACUACAGAUUACUUGAAAGUGGUAGUAUUUAUUAUUAUUAUUUUUUGUUUCCUUUGAUAUGGCUUGUACAACUUUUCUCAUAAAUUGGUACAAUUAGCUUAUGGACCGAGUGUGUGUGGAUAGGAGAUUAUUUGAAGUAAAAACUGAAACAUUUUUUAUGGUGUGAUAUAUAUAAGAUAAAAAGGUAAUUAAGAAGAUAAAAAUAUGUGUUUAAAAUUGCGUUUGUGAUGCAAGUAAAUAAUAAUAGUUAUUCAAAGUAUAAAAAAACUUUUUCAAUAAAAUUUUUUUUUUACUUGUAUCAUAAACACGUUAUUAAACCCUCUUUUUAAAAUUUUCAACAUUUUUUUAUUUUAGAUGCGUCAUAUAAUAUCACAUCAUGAAAGUAUUAUAAUGAUUAUCUAAAAUAAUGUUUCAAAUAAUAUAUUAUUAUAUCCGAACUAAUACUAAUGCAAUAUUAGGAUACAAAUUCCACCUCAAGAGUUGAUCCAAUAACUUCAUAUUUUUGGAGGUCAAGACAUUAAUUGCGUUCAUGUUAGUGAAGAAGAAGUGAUGGUAGAUUAACAUCUAAUCAAUUCAUUUUCAUGCAUUAAGCUCUCUAUUCGAGAAGGUAUGAAGAUGGAUACUCUUGCAUUAAAUUGAUGUGUGGAGAAAAAUAUCAAUUUGGGAGCUAUAGUAUCAUGGAAACUUUUGAUGGCAUCAUAGGGAGUACUUUUAACAGGAAAGGAUAUCACAAGAACUCAAGAAGUAAGAAGGAGACAUAUUUAGGACUUGUUAAAUCCAUACUUAAAUCGGACUCAUUAUUUGAACAUGUCAAGUGUUACCCCUUAAACAUCAAAACUUUAUAUACAAUACUUACUUAAUUUGGACUCAUAAUUUUUUUUUUUUUUUAAGGAAUUGGUCUCAUCAUUUGAACAAGUGUUACCCCUUAAACACCAAAAUCUUUUAAUACUUUCUCGGGUCUUUGGCUGCUUUAUCCGGAGGUGUUUGCUUCGCAUUUUAAAAAUCAAUAUCAGAAACUAUAAAAAAAAAAAAAAAUCAAUAUCAGAGUCAGGAAGAUCAAACCCUAUAUGGGCAUGGGUAUAGGUUAUCGACAAUCCCCAUGAAAUAUUUGGUUUGAAAGUAAUAUCAUUUUUAUCCUAUUAAGAAUCAAGAUAGAUUUAAGUGUUAAUUUCUUCAAAAACAAGUAUAAUUAUUUCUUCAAAAACAUGAUAAAUUAGGUGGAAAUACAUCAAAUGCCCAUCCAUCAAUUUGAAACCUAAAUAAACUAAGCAAUAAUAAACGGUUUUUCUAACGGAUGUUCGAUAUGCAGUUGUUAAUACAUUUAAAUCAUAGCUAACCUACCGUGUAAAUACAUAUACUAGCAAUUAUUAUCUUCAUUUGUAUCUAUACACUUUUCCUAAUUAAAUUUACAUUUUCAAAAAUUAACACUCGAGCUAUUUCCUAAUGAGUGACCAUUGGAUACUUCUAAUUCUACCGAAUGAUUCACCAAAAAUUAUUGGGCACUCUUCACACAAACCAAUAAUAAAUUGCAACAAUUAACACUUCUAGACUCUCUAUUAUUGAAUGAUUUUGGUAGUCAUCUAGGAACAACAAAUACCCUUAUCAAAUACCCUUUAAAUGAUACACCCCAUCUUAUUAGGGUGACAGUCUCUAACAUGAUCCUUCAUUUUGUAUGGGCGUACACACCAAAAGAUGUAGGUGAGGAUCCAAAACCCCUGCCGAGAUCUGAAACUUGUGUUUGGAUUGUAAUUUUUUUUAAAAAAAUUAUUAUAUUUUUCGUGGACAUAUUUUUUAAUUGUUUUUUUAUUUUAUAUAUAUCAAAUUAUUACAAUAUUUUUUCUAUAUAAAAGGUCCAGAAAAAUACAAUACGAACAAAGUCUUUAAUUUACUGUGAUCCUGUCGAAAUUCGUCCGGAUUUUCUUUGAAAUGCAAGAUUUCCGGGGGCGUUUAAGACGGUUGAACCGUGAAAUUGGUAGGGCGGAGUUGAAUGGUGGUUCGGCGCAGUUUUGUAUGGUUCUGCAAUAACAGGUCAGACUGGUCAGUGACUUAGAAAUGCACGUGGGUGGGGUGGGAGUACGGGACAACGUUGGACUUGCGCGGCUGGCGUCUACAGUUACCUGUUCCCUACUUUUUUGCCACAAAAAGUAUAAGGUUUAUUUAACAAUUUUCCGUCGUUUGGAGUUGGCACGAAUGAUUUCGGGAUAACUUAAUUACGUUCUGUGAUCGUACGUUCAAGUUACCUCUUUAUCGCUUGUGUAUCUUUGGGGAUAAGGUGCACAGACAUAAAAAAAUUAGUCUGAUAAAACUGAAAUACUCCUUAUAUCGAAAAAAAAAUUUAACAAUAUUUCAAAUGAGUAUUCCUUAUUAUACCUAAAUUAUACUACAUGACUUGUUAUGUUAAUAUACACAAUCACAAUGAACACACAUAGGCCUGUCAACGGUCCAGGUCUAGACCCGGACUCGGAUUGGAUCUGUGAAUUUUUUGCGGGUACGGGUAGGAAUUUAAUUCUGUUACCCGGACUCGGAUCCGGAGUCGGAUACGGAAUAUAGUAUUCCGACCCGUAUUAGACCAGCAUUCGGAUAUAAAUGGAUUAAUAAUUUUAAAUAUAUAUAUUUAUCAAUAUAAUUAGAUUAGGGUGAUGUAUUUGAAUAAAGUCAAUUUGAUUUCUUUUCUUAUUUAGUUUUUUUGUAUUAAUUAGAAAUUAGUUUACAAAUAUAUUUUUUCUCAUUUUUUAUUAGAAGCCCGACCCGGAUCCGAAUCCGGAACAUAGAGUAGGAGAUCUGUCGAGUAAAUGGGUCGGAUCCGGUUUCGGAUCCGGUUCCGAUAUGAUAUGUUGGGUCUGGGUCCGAAAUAAUAAAUUCUAGCCCAGAUCCAAUCCGGAUCUGAAACAUAGAGUAGAAGAUCCGUCAAGUAAAUGGGUCGGAUCCGGAUCUGAUAUAAUAUGCUGGGUCCGGAUCCGAAAUAAUAAAUUCUGACCCAGACCCGACCCGUUGACAGGCCUAAACACACACCCCUUACAUAGAACAGAAUAUUGAGGCUAUUUAGGCAGACUGUGUUAUUGAAAUCUACUUAUAGUUUUUUUGUGGUGACGCAAAUUAAUUCGGAAAAUGACAUAAGAAUUACUUUUUUAUUCUUUUAUUUUAAUUCAAAGGAGAUCCUAAAGUUUACAAAGGGAAAAAAAAUAGAAGGGAAGACUUGAGAGUUAAACUAAGGAUGCCAUGGUCUCUAAGUUAAAACUGGGUUGGAUCUUAAAAGGACGUACAGAAUCAUGUAUGUUUAGCAACUUAGCAUUUGCACAUAAUGUUUGGAGCUUUACAAAAGACCAUUUUCAUAAACUAGAAAGCGUUGCGGAUGGCAGCAAACAAACUCUCUUACUAUAAAACCAGGAGAAUAGGCUUUUUGUCCUUUUUUUUGGUUGUAAGUAAAACUUGACGAGUGCAGGUUUUUCCUCUUGAAACAAUUUUAUCACAAGCUCUAAAAUAGUGCUUCAAAAUCAAGUGCUGUCACAAUUGUCCUGAUUUGGUAGAUAUUUGAUGCCAAACCAAAGAUAAUUUUUAGACAAUUAGAGUAAUAGCUGUCUUACCUAAUCAUCCCCGAGAGGAAAAUAAAAACCCAAAAAAAAAAUUUGACUGUUAGAUAUUGUUCAUUAUGGAAAGAAGAACUCCAUCAAGAAUUGGCUCAAAUAAGGUUGAUCUUGAUUCUAUCAUUUUUUUUUUUACGUGUGACAAAUACUUUUGGAUAUCAAAUUUUUUCAAAUAAUAUUUCACUUAUAUCAUAAUCAUAUCUUUAUUUUACAUAUAUUAUAUUAUAAAAAAUAUUAUAAUAAUUAUUUUAAAUAAUAACUCUAUUCUGUCCACACAAACUUACCUAAUUAUAAAAGGCUGUACUGACCAUACAACAAGCUUUGGUUGCAUGGCUGUACUGACCAUACAAAAUUAAAUGACUGCAACUUGCAAGAUGGGAAUAUGCCUCUUGCAUGUGCUUUCCGUCUAUGAAUGAAAAACAUCUGUCCAAAGGCAAAGAAAUUUCGUGGUAGGUGGGAUACAGUGAUAGGAUGGGACAAGAUCUAUAAGUAAUUUUGGCUUUUUAUUGUGUUUGGCACUGGUGUCAAUGUUGAGGGAGGUUUCGUGACAAGGGAGGUUGAGUGUCAGUCAUGAAUCUUGCCGGGGGACACGAUUAUGCAAAAUGAUUUCCUUGUACUAUGUUAAGGCUUGACUAAUCAUUUGCAAUUGACCUACAAAAACAUCAAAGGUAACUAAAAAUCACCUUAGACUGUGCUUAGCAGUAGAAUUUCAAUUAACUCUAAACGUUAAUCUAAUUUUGUUGUAUGAUUUCAAUUAUUGAAAAAAUCAAGAAAUUUGGUAAGGCAGUGCUCGAGGGAGGGGAUGGAUCAUCCAUCCCACAUUAACAGAUCGUGGAUAGUUACCCUGGAUUUAAAGUUCUCAACUGCACUUUCUCAUCAAGGGAAUUGUGGGUUCAGUUCCUCAAAGUCUCCAAGUUAAAUUUUAUGGUAUUAUAUUAGUAUCUUAUUGAUAUACUUUGCCGUACGUAGUUUAGGGUUGUUUUCACUUCAAUAUGGUAACAAGAAGAAGAAGAAGAAGAAGAUGAGGAGGACGAGGAGAAGGAGAAUUGUUGCAACUUGCAAAGCCAAUGAGCUGGUGGUGCUAAAUCAAAUAGUUUAUAGUUCUUUUUUUUUAAGUAGAUUUUUUUUUUAUUUUCUCAAACGCUCGUGUGUUUUCUUUAACUUGAAAAUUUGAGGUCAUCAACCAGAAUUGUCACUCGUGUGACCUUCAACCUUUUGGGUAAAUGAUAUAAACAUUAUUGAAGAUUAAUAUUAGUGGCUGUGAGAGUUCAGAAAUGAGAAAUCCUGAUGGAGACUAGAUACCAAAUGACGGGGGAAUAAGUACGAUUGUUAGUACAAGCGUUCUUGAAUAAUGUAAUUAUUAUUGGGAGAAUGGAUGGGUUGGGUGGUUUGAAAGGAAGGAACGUAAGUGAGAGAUUUCGAAUUCAAGCAUUCACGCUUACACUAAAAGGACAAAAAAAAAAAAGAAAAGAACAAUGUAAUUGUUAUUAAUUAAACACACUGUAAUGCACUAUAAACUAUAUGUAUAAUUUUAUAACAUAGAUAUUAUACUUACUAAUGAGUCCUUAGAUUUGAAAAGUUUUGAAUCGUAAAACGUUAUCAAAAAGCAAUGGAGACACAAAAGGUGCAUUUGUCAUCAUAUUAGUAAACACUUAUCUAUUAUUUUGUACAUUAAUUGAUUAAACUUUCGCUAAUAUGUUUAUAACAUCGUGCUAACACCAUCCAGUUUUUGAAUUCCAGUUAAACCCCCUUCGCCUCUGACUCCUAAGCUUCACCGAUUCGCCUCCUAGUCCAUGAUUAAAAACAUAGGCUCACACUUCACACAAAGUAUUUUCUUUUCUGUAAACAGUGCUUCAAUAUACUUUUAGUAAAAUUAAACAUAUUGUUUGCUCAUUCAUUUCUUUUCUUAUCACCCUAUACUCAUCUCCUUCCUCCUUCCCCACCAUUUUUUAUUUAUUAUUUAUUUUAUCAAGAAAAGGGCGAGAUACAAAAAGUACCGGAAAUUCUAAUUUCAAGGGUCUCAACCUCUCUUCCCCCGGCCAAUGGGCGCUGUAAUAGAUUAACCAUCAUGAUACUUGGUAGUAUUUAUUAGUGAUUCAAAUUUUAUUAAAUAACUGAUGUAGAGGAGGAGGGAUGAAUUGGAUGAUUUGGACGGAGGGAAUAUAGGUGAGAAGUUUUGGAUUCAAGUCUUCUUAUUUACACUUAAAAACAAAAAAUUGGUGUAAGAAAAGGUGGAAUCUAUUCCAGAAGAAGUAGAAUUUUAGAAAAAUAAAAAGUAGUGGAACUAACAAAAUUGUUCGGGCCAGCCCAACCAAAGAUGAGAAGACAACAAUUCAAAAGUGCUUGGGCCUAUCGACUAAGUAAAGUGAAGGAAUUCGAGGGAACUGUCUUUCACAGUUGGUUUGUUGUUGUUUGGAAAAAUGAUGAGUAGGAUGAUUCCACUUCUGAUCCUCGGCCCUCCUCACUCUUCAAAUCCUGACAAAUUCGUGAUUUAGACACAAGGAAAAUGGCAGCGGAAAAACCACAGCCGGUUCAAGUUCCCUACUGCCAGGUUUGCACGUUACCUGCAGAGUACUGCGAAUUCGGGCGGGAUUUUGAGAAAUGCAAGCCCUGGUUGAUCCGCAACGUUCCCAAUCUCUACCCACACCUCCUCCAAGGUUGCACUAAUCCUUUUAAUUUUUUUCCCCAAUAAACAUUUUCUCUUUUUUAUGCUAGAAUUAAAUACCAUACUUGCUCACCAGUUUCAUUUUUUUUUUUUAAAUUUUAAUUCUUUUGGGGGGUUUUGUUUGGUAGAGGCGAAUGAUAAAGAAGCAGAGAAGCUAUCAGAGCAGCUUCAAGGGUCUGGUAUAUCCCCAGCUGGAUCACCAGCUGCAACCGCUGGUGAGUUUUUUUUUGUUUUUUAAUAUACUCGUGAUCAAGCACAUUUUUGAGAUUUUGUUUUGUUUUUAUAUUUUAAGCAAUUGCUAAUUGGAAUCUGUUAUAAUUUAGAUUACUAGAAUGCUGAAAGUGGAAAGUUUGAAAAAAAAAAAGAAUGUUUAAGGUAUAGAUAUCUGUAUUGUUUCAGCCAUUGUUAUGCAUCUGCAUCUUUCAGCAAAUUUUUACAACAGGAAAGAAGUGAUUUUUUUUUCCUGUGGAAAAGCUUAUCAGAGAGAGAUGAAUUGGCAUCUUAUUGAAUCAUAUGUAGAAUGAAAUUUCUAUGACAAGCAGAUUAAUACCUGAAACCAUUUUGCCUUCAAAGUUUAGUUUCUAAGUGAGCAGCUUGUAAUCUGGCAAACUGUAUAUCUAAGUUGUAGCUGAAGAGUAUCUUUACCAGACUAGAGAUGUCUGUAUUGAUUCUGGUUAUACUUUACCAAGUUUCGGUGCAUUUUAGGGGAACCUUCAGCCAGCAAGCAAGAAGAUGUCAAACGACUUCCUGGUGGAAAAAUUAAGAGAAAGGUAAGUCUUAUCUUCUAAGCACCGUCAGUUUUGGUUGUUUAGCUAGCUGGCUAAAAUGUUUUGGCAAGAAGAAAGUUUUUCAUAUCAAUAGCUAAUCUAUGAAAUAGGGUGCUGUUUCUUUGGUUAGAUAAAUAAUUUUCAAUAUUAAGAUGCGAAUUGUACAUGUUCAGGAAGGUUGCAUAACAAACUACAUGCAGGAUUAUAUAUGAAUCUGGCAUAUACUAUUGUUUACAUGUCUAUAUGGUGGAAAUUUUGACAUAUAUGUGAACAUCAGUUAAUUUCACACCCACAUCUAUUCAUUUUAGUCAUGGAUAUCCAUGGCUUCAAAUUCUUCAUGCUGGGAUGUUUUCAUGCUCACUUGUUUUACACUAAGCCUGAAUUCUGAUCAGAGUGUGUAACCACGUUAAUUUGUGGUGUUGUUUGGCUUUAUGUCAUGACUUUUAUGUGGUUUUGCUUGAUAUGAACAGCACAUUGGGUGGUAGUGACUCAUGAAAACGGGGAUUUAAUGUAUCUGAAUCGACGGCAUACGUAAUGAAGUUUUUUUUGAAAAUCUAUUUUAAUGCUUUAUUAUUCAAAUUUUCUUUUCGAGCUAAUAAUCCAAAAUGUCUUCUUGCAAUUGCUACCUGAUCUGUUUAUUCACAACAAUUAGUGAUACAUAAACUUUGUAAAAUAUUAGAGCAAAUCAGUUGUUACUUCCCCCCCCCCCCCUUCCUCCCAAAAAAAAGGGAAAAAAAUCCUUCUUGUACUUUAUUGUUGUUUGGUCGAUAGAUUCCCAUUACUCAGAUACAGUAUAUGUGCAAAUGAUGGAAUGCUGUUUCUGUUAACACUUUUGUGUUUUUUGAUGCUUGACAUUUUGGCCAUCAAGGAUGGUUAAGUGAUGAUGAUUCUGCUGGAAAACUAACAAAGACUGACACAUGCUGAUGGAGAUAUUUUGCAGGAGAAACAAGAAGUUGUUAUUGAAAAGAUUGUGCGGAAUAAACGCAAAUGUAUCACCACAGUAAAAGGAUUAGAACUAUUUGGUAAGUAUGAUGCUGAUUUCAUUCUAUGAAAACUUGAAAUUAAUUUGAUGUGGAGUUCAGACAUUGUUAAUACAUGUUGCAGGUAUUAAACUUAGUGAUGCUUCAAAGAAGUUUGGAAAGAAAUUUGCUACAGGUGCAUCUGUAGUUAAGGUAAUAGCUAAUUGGGUGAUGCAUUUGUAGCAUUAUAUGUGUUGGUUGACUGUACCAUUUGUUGCUGGUUGUAGGGACCGACUGAGAAGGAUCAAAUUGAUGUUCAAGGAGAUAUUGCUUAUGACGUAGUAGACUUCAUUAGAGAAACAUGGGCUGAGGUAACUUCCUGAGACCGCUUCUCUUUUAGUUGGAUUUUGAUUCAAAAGACUUGAUUUUGCGAAAUAGGAAGACACUUUUGUGGUAGAAAAACAUUGACAGUUAAAUGUACUCCUGCUGAAUCAGAAGGCUAUAUAAAUUGUUACUGGAAAUUGAUAAAGGCGCAUAAGGGUUAGUCCUUGCUCCAUAAUGUUGUAUAUGACAGUUCAUUUGAUAUUCUCGUAUGUUUUUUGUUUAAAUGUUGAAUGUGCUCGUAGCAUGCCGCUAGUCUGUUUUUCGUUUUUGGUUCUUGUAAAAUUGCAUCAACUGUGAGAAUUAUUUAAAAAGGAAUACAAUUCCUGAAAAUCCAGGUAUUUUUGUUCAGUCUAAAUUAUUCUCUUUAUGCUGUGCCAUUCCAGGUGCCAGAAAGCGCUAUAUUCUUUAUUGAGGAUGGGAAAAGGGUAUCUGCAGCUUGAGCUUUUAGUUUGUGCCAUGAGGAGUUGAUGCUAAAUUUUGGUCGCAUGCUAGCAGAGAUUUUGAGUUGAUGACAUGCUGGAAAGCAAUCUCUCUUUUGUGCCUGUUAUUAGGCCUGUCAAUCGGGCCUAAUGAACCGGGCUUUGAUGAGUUCAAACUCAGCUCAUUUAAUUUGAGACAUUUUCGGGCUUCGGGCUAUGAGUUUCGGGUUCGUAAAUGUGAAGCUCAUACUCAGCUCACAUAAUAUUCGGAUUGUGAGCCUUAAUCGGGCUUAGCCCAAGCUCACUUAUUACUCCUGAAUUUUCUUAAUAUAAUUGCUAUAACUAUUAAGUUGUAAAACUAAUUUAACAUUUACAAGACUAUAAUAUUAAAACUAAACAUGAACAAAUAAUAGUUCUUAAAAAGUAUAUAAACCAAAAUUUUUUCAACAAUAUUUAUAUGUAAUCCGUUUAAAAUGCAUGAAAAAUAGUAAUAAAACAUGCAAUCAUAAGCCAAUACAUCUUUAAAAGUUGAAACUUUUUUUUAUAAUCUUGUGAUUUAAAUCCAAAUAUGCUUGAUGAUUUUUGUGUUUGUAGACCAAAAAAAAAAAAUCAACCAAUAAUAUGCCAAUACAAAAAGUUACUCAACCAAUAAGAAAAAUUAGAGAUUUAGUUAUGCAUUACUAAUAUUGGCUCUCAAGAAAGUUCAUGAAAGAGUCUUUAGAUGUGUUUUUGUGUUUUGUAAUUUAUAUAUAUAUUUAGUAUUUAGCAAAAAUAUAUUUGGAUAUAUAAUUAUACAUAAUAUCAAAAUAUAAAUAUUAUAUAUAUAGGUAAUUAAAGGGCCGGGCCUAUAUCGGGUAUGAGCCUAAUAAGGCCCAAGCUCGGCUCACAUUUAAUUCGGAUCUAAUUUUUAGGCUCAAGUUCAGACCGGCUCACUAAAUGAUCGGGCUCAUCGGGCUUUCUGUCGGGCCGAACGAGCCGAGCUCGGGCUGGCCCAGCCCCAUUGACAGUCCUACCUGUUAUGACAGUUAAUUCAGAUGUCAAAAUUUGCAAGAUAAUAUCUACUUUAGGUCUAGGUAAACGACUUACAAUUACAUUAGCCCCUCCAUUCUUCGAUAGAGAUGUUAAAAUUUGCAGUUGGGGUUUAUAUACAGAGCUUUGUACAGGAAGAAGAAGAGAAUCCAAUGUACCGGUGUACCAUUUUUGGAUAAAACAUGGUGUCGUAUUUUUCAUAGGAACGUGUUCCUUCUUAGUUAAAACUUUGAAUGUCUUAAACAUGUAACUAACCAUCAAGAACCCAAAUUUGUACAGAUCGAUAUUUCUCAGCACAGAAAAAGAUAAACCUUAGCUGACAAUUGAUCUAUUUGGUCUUCAAAGAAUCCCUUCCUGCUAAUGGAUUUUUUGUUGCUGCUGGUAUUUGCUGCUGCUGCUUGGUAAUGCAUAUUUUCUGUUGCUAAAAACCCCUAAUUUGGAAAUUCUACGCCAAAUCUAAGGGAAUUCCUUCUAGUUGCUAUUGUUUACCUGUUAAUAUUAUUGUUUUGGGAAUCACAUUUUCGGCCUUCGAUUUCUUUGUGUAAGUUCUGAGCAAAAGAACGGACGCAAGGUUUCUUUUGACAGAAAGCGGUGGCUUGUAACUAGGGGUGCAAACGAGCCGAGUCGAGUCGAGCUUUGGCCUUAUCGAGUCGAGCCUUAACUUAAUUUCAUCGAACUCGAGCUCGAGCUCGACGAGCUGGUAAUUUUCAAACUCGAGCUCGAGUUCGACUCGAUUCGAGCCCAGCUCGAGCUCGAGUUCGAACUCGAAAAAAAUAAAAAAUAAUUAUUUAAUUUUUUAAAAAAUAAAUAAAAUAAUAUUUUUUCUUAAUAAAUAAUAAAAUAUUAAGGAUAUUUAUGUAAUUUUACUAUUAAAAAUAAAAAUAAAAAAAAUAAAUAUAUAUAUACUCGAGCUCGCGAGCCUAACGAGCUUAAUGUUUUGAGCUCGAGCUCGAGCUCGACUCUAGCUCGAGCAGCUCGAGCUCGACUCGAGCUCGACUCGAGCGGCUCUAGAGCGGCUCGAUUCGUUUGCACCCCUACUUGUAACUCGAAUAUAAUGUUCAAAAUAGAUGAAAGACCUCAGCAGAGUAUUGGGUUCGACUCCGAGUGACUAUUCUCAGCAGUAUCAUUGCUGCUGCCUCAAGCAAUGAAGUGUGGUUGAAAUUAUUUGAAGUCUAGUCGUGUCUUGCGAACCGCCAAAACCUUUCUCUGUAGCUGGGAAUCGGGGUCAGCAAAGCAACAAAAAUUUCGUUACUAUAUUUCGCGGCCAGGAUCAACGAGCCAAAUGUUACAUUCAUCCAUGCAGUAAAGUUACCUUGUUUGAUUGUCAUUUUUAUUUUAAUUUUUUUAAAAUAUUUUUUAUGAACAUAUUUUUCAAUCGUUUUUUUAUUUCAUACAUAUUAAAUUGUUACAGUACACUUAAAAAAAAAAAGCAAUUUGAAAGGGCUCGCAAUUGAAGGUUUAAAUCAUACUCUUUUUAUUAAAUUUACCUCCUAGCACCGAAGAAAUAAAUAAGAACUUUGGGGGAAUAAGAAGAUCAGAUCAAAUCAAAUCAUGAGAAAGUCAACAAAAUGAGAAACCCAGGAAGCUCAGUAGCCACCGCCUUUUCUGGUGGGGUGGGAGGUCAGUGGUUCAACCCUUGUCUCCCAUCAAAUUGUCUGUUUCUUAUGGACAACUCGGUUAAUCUCAGCAAUCCUCCUUAGGAGCUGGUGUCUAGUGCCCGCAAGGGUCCGAGUCCUGUAGUUAUCGUGUUCGGGGGGAUGGGGUCUCUCCUUCCUGACCAAAGUGAGAUUAGUCGGGCCCGUAAAAAUUGACCGGAACACCCACUCCGUCAGCAAAAAAAAAAAAAAAACCCAGCAGGAAGGUUUGGAAAAGGUAAGGGUACAAAUGUAACUUAACAUCUAGCAUUAUACUAUCGAGCAUAUCCAGAAUAUCCCCUUGAGCCAUUGCUAUUGAUGCUCCCGAAAGGACGGACCAGUAGUAAGUACCUUGAAAAACACAGCCGAAGGAAAAUCCAUCCCCCUGGAGACUUGAGUAGAGCUCGUAGACACUGAUGUGAGUGAUCAAUUUUCAUCUGGAAGUUGGAUUCUUGACAGACCCUUUCGGAUUUGCUCUCUGAUUCUUCUGUCGUAUUAAGGUAAAUAAUUGUCCAACUCGACUAAUUCUCAUCAAUCUCUCUGGCUCUGAAGUUUCGGUAGCAUGCCUUUUGCUGCCGUUGCUCUCUCUCUUCUCUUUCUCUCAAUCUGUUUAUGUAGUCCAAUUUUUGCUGGUCUGUGAACCGUAAUUUUUGUAGCACAGCUUGGUUAAUUCUUGACUUGGAUAGUAGGCUGAAGACUUGAAAAAAAAAAAGAGAGUAAAGCAGGGGUCUUUUGUUCUUGUGAUGGACUGGGCAUUCAAAUAGCAAUGGACUAGUUAAAGAAUGCAGAACUGUUGGAAAAGAAGUAAAAGGCUUACUCAUUAUGCAAAUUUUCAUUUUGCUUUUUACUAAUCUCAGCGUUGCAUUUGAACUUUGGAGUUGGUUAACUUAAAAAGUUGAAUAAAAUGGCUUGUUUUUUAUCACAAUGAUUCUUUGUCAGUCUGCUUCUUGUAUUUAUAUAGAGCAGCAAAGUAGUGACUUCGAAGAUUGAUUUCGAGUUUAAGUACAAACUCUGCAGGUUUAAUACAGUUAAGAGUACAAUUGGCAGCUACUAUGGCGCACUUGCUUUCUACCUCUUGUUCUUUGAAUAUCCCUCCGAGCUGCAAAAAGCCAAAAUGCUUGUUAGUGAAUCAGUGUUCAUCAUCGGGAUUUCCCGCAUCUUUUAGUUUGCCAACUUCAACCUCUCGUUCGAAAAUGCUCAUCCUGCAUGGAAAAGGGCCAAAAAGAUCCUCCACCAUCUAUGCUAUGGCUGUUUCUCUGAGUCAAGAAUCCAAAGCUCAGCCUGGCUCUAGCUUUCCUCAAGAAACCGGUGAAGCUGGUAGUCCAAAGAAGGUCAUGGUUAUUGGUGGUGAUGGUUACUGUGGUUGGGCUACUGCACUCCAUCUAUCAAACAGAAACUAUGAAGUUGCUAUUGUUGACAACCUUGUUCGUCGCCUUUUUGACCACCAGCUCGGUCUUGACUCCCUCACACCUAUUUCGUCUAUCCAUAAUCGUAUCCGUUGUUGGAAGUCCCUUACUGGCAAGGAUAUCCAACUUCACAUCGGGGAUAUAUGUGACUUUGAGUUCCUGGCUGAGACUUUUAAGUCAUUUGAACCUGAUGCUGUUGUCCACUUUGGAGAGCAGAGAUCUGCUCCUUACUCCAUGAUUGAUAGGUCAAGAGCUGUAUUUACCCAACAGAACAAUGUCAUUGGGACACUUAAUGUUCUGUUUGCCAUAAAGGAAUAUAGAGAUGAGUGUCACUUGGUGAAGCUUGGAACCAUGGGAGAGUAUGGGACCCCAAACAUAGACAUUGAGGAAGGUUAUAUUACAAUUACUCAUAAUGGAAGGACAGACACUCUGCCUUAUCCCAAGCAGGCAAGUUCUUUCUAUCAUUUGAGUAAGGUUCAUGAUUCCCAUAAUAUUGCAUUUACUUGCAAGGCGUGGGGAAUCCGAGCCACUGAUCUAAACCAAGGAGUAGUUUAUGGUCUGAGAACAGAUGAGACUGCAAUGCAUGAUGAGCUAUGUAAUAGAUUUGAUUAUGAUGGAGUUUUUGGAACUGCGUUAAAUAGGUUUUGUGUUCAGGCUGCUGUCGGUCAUCCACUUACUGUCUAUGGCAAAGGGGGCCAGGUAUUUUCUCCUUUCAUGUCUCUGUCACAUUAAUCAUAUGAUAUUUCCUGCAGAACUGGAGAUGCUUCUCAGCUGCAAACUGCGAGUAGUUAUAUUGCAAUAGGCACAGUCUAAUAUCUAUUUCUUUUCCUGUGUGAAAACAUCAUGAAUCGAUAGAUGGGUAGUUCCUACUGUUAUUAGUCACUGGAAACAACAAAUUUAAACUCUUAGCACAUUCAGCAAAUAAAACUGUGCAACACAUAUUGCAUAAGCCUCCUCCAUCGGAUUACAUGGGACCUAAUAGGUUUGUCUGUCACGUGCUUCAUAGAUCUACAUAUUGAAGCAGUAUUAUGUUCUGAAAUGGUAUAUUAAUUGACAAAGUCUUGAGUACCUAGGUAAGAUUAGUUUUUAUAGUUCACAUUUUUGGUAUGGUUUUGCUAGAAGGCAGCUGAAGCUUCCUCUUGAAAUCACUUAUAAGUCCAUCCCUAUUUUAGGCUAGUUAUCUGGAACUUCCGAGGAAAGUAUGUAAUAACAUGAACCUGCCAUUAUAAUGGAUAAUAACCGAGUUGCUGCCUGUUGUCUCGAGAAGGUUAAAUCUGGAUAUUGAACGUAUAGUUAUGCUGAUUUGGAGAUUACAUGACCUAGGUCCAAAGUACUCUUGGCUAACUACCUUCUGAACUUGGAUGUAAAUUGAUGCCCAUAGACGAUAGUUUGAAAUCUGCUGAUAUGAUGUUGGGUUUGGAUGGGAAAAAUGAGUUUUUUUAUCUGGAUUGCCAUAAUCUUUAUGCAGCCUCUGUAGGGUAAGCCACUGCUGGAGAAGCUACUCCAGAUUCCUUUCUUAUUUUUUAAAUUUUCUAAAUUUCUUUGGCUGAGACUCACUGAAGUAUUCUGACUAUAGGGCUUGAAUUUGGAAAUGCAUCAUUCUGAUGUUAAUAGGAACUAGGAAGUGCUUUUUGUUUUUGGCUGCAUAAAAAAAAAAAACGAAGGGUGUGGCACUUGAAGCUAGGGUGGUUUUGCAGUCACCAACUCACUCAAGUGCUUCAAUCGAUACUUCUAACUUUAUUUCAUCUUCAUCCAUGUUCUUUUGUGAUCUACUGAAUAUUUGUAAUGCAUUCUUUUUGUACAAUGCAGACCAGGGGAUAUCUAGAUAUAAGAGACACAGUUCAGUGUGUUGAGCUUGCAAUUGCUAAUCCAGCACAGAGAGGAGAAUUCAGGGUCUUCAAUCAAUUCACGGAGCAGUUUUCUGUCAAUGAACUUGCAGCCCUUGUCACGAAAGCUGGAGAAAAACUUGGCAUUGAGGUGAAAACAGUAUCUGUGCCCAACCCCAGAGUAGAGGCAGAGGAGCAUUACUAUAAUGCCAAACAUACAAAACUCAUUGAGUUGGGUCUCAAGCCCCACCUUCUCUCUGACGCUCUUCUUGACUCGCUGUUGAACUUUGCCAUCAAGUAUAAGGAUCGUGUUGAUCCCAAACAGAUAAUGCCCAGUGUUUCUUGGAGAAAAAUUGGUGUCAAGCCAAAAACUGUUGCAGUAUAAAAGAGUGUUGAAUGGUACUAGUUUCAGUACUGAUUGUCUACUAUUAUACUGCUGUAACCGUUUCUGAUGGGGUGUUGUAUCUUACUGAACUCCUUGCAUAUUGUCGGCAUUAGCAUCCAGCAGCCUUCCGACUGUAAAUUUUGGUAGGACGUAGAAAACUCUAGCAGUAACUCCAUCAUCCCUGUAAUGUCAGUAACCUAGAAGAGUCUUUGGUGUAUCACGUUUAUUAAUUUUCUAGAUGAAUAAAGUUGUUUUCUAAAUUUGUUGAAAAUUGAACAAAUGCCCUAUACAUGCGACUACAAUCUUAUACUCCAAAAAUUUUUCCUGUCUUCGACAGAUGGGGGGACAUGUAUGAAUACUCCUUUCCUUGACGAUGAAAAUACAGCCUACGGCAGAACAAGCAUCCGGUUGAAAUACAUAAUCGAAGUGCUUAGCUGUUCUGUUGAUUUGAGUUGGUGGAUCUUGUUUAUAUUCAUAAUGCAUAUGACAUGAAUUGCUUGUAACUGGUAUUGAGAAUCAUAAAGCAAAACUGAAUACUAAAUUUGAAUCUUCGACUCACUGAGGAAAAAACAUAUGAAAGAGAUGGUUCAUAUAUUUUAUCUUCUGCACAGCGUUUUUGUUUUUUUGACAUAUUGUGCUGUAACAUGUUUUUCAGUAAACUACAGUCCAUGUACUAAUCCCUAGUUCUUAAAGACCCUAACUGCAUCAUUAUCCAUCGAGGUAGUCUUCAGCUAUCACCGUUGGUUGGUACCAUGAGGGGGGAAUCAAUGUUGUCAUCCAGGAACCAUGUUACGGUUGGUAUGAAGCAACAGAGUCAGACAUGUAACUGGAUUCUCUUAAAAUCCAUUUGUCCAGAACCAUAAUCACUAUCCUCGUAUCAGAAUCGGGAAUGGAUAAAUCUAUGCACUCUUCUGCAUUCUGUAAGCCCAUUCGUUACAAAAUCCAGUACAACUGAAGCCAAUUCAUGUUGAUGCGAAGUGAAAUAAUGAUCUGCGCCUUCAAAAAUGUGUAGUAUAUGAUUAGGUAUGUGCUUUGCAAACUCCUUGGCAUCACUGACAGGAACAAAUUCAUCCACGGAACCUUGAACUGUCAACACCCUACAUACACGUACAGAAUAUGGAAAGAUAAUGAAAAUAUGUUUCAUAACGAAGAUCCUGAUAUAGAAUACUCUUCAAAAUUGAAUUGAUAACAACAGUUCAAUCAUAAUUCGAUAAACAAGAAUCACCAAUCCCUACCUGCAGUUUCUGUCGAUCUUUUGGCAAGCUGCACGAGUAUCAGUUGCUAGACGGUCCAUCAAACUUUCCUUAGAUACACGAUACUUGGUCUUUCCUACAUAGAAAUACCCCAUGUGAGACAUAACUUGGCUCGAAGGCAAUUAUUUAUUUCCUUACCUCUCAUACACAAUUUUUCCAUAAGUGAUUUCUUUCUGGACAAUACAAGGAAACCAACAUGCAGCACUUGAGUACAAAACCAAACUCAUACAAGAAGAUGAAUCACGGUCUUAGCUACCCCUUCUGUUCUUGACGUCAAUAAAUCCAUUCUGCUCAAUUUUCUCCAGAAAGUCUUUACCCAAGCGACCUUCAAUUCCUCGCUCAAGAUUGAAGCGGCCAGCGAUAUUGACAAUAAUUUGUAUGUCAUUAUCCCUUGAAGCAUACAACAGCACAGCAUUUCCUCCUAAAAAAUCUCAACUGAACAGCUUGUCAGGUGACUGGAAGGAAUCUAGAAGUUCGGACAGUAAAUCAAUGUUUGAACUUAGUCGAAUAGCUUAUGUACCUUUACUAUGCCCGACAAGUGCAGCUACAAAACAUUUCUCUUCCUGGAAGUGUUGAAUUACUGCACGCAAGUCAUCUGCUUCUCUAUGGUAGUUACCAUACUGAAAUGAUCCUUCACUUUCUCUGGGAAGCAAGAAUACCACAUGUUUGUCAUGAAUGAGUUCGUACAAAAAUCAACUAAAGAAAAGAAUGUGGAGAUAGCUUUUUGUGCUCAAAUGAAGAAAUAUUGUCUUCUUCAACUCUUUUACAAGCUUUUGCACCAAUCUUUGGCUAUGUAUUGGCUCCAACCAGCUUAAGUUCUAAUAUGUAAAGGUUUGAGAAGUGAGUGCCCUACUACUUUGCAUCAAAGAAAAUGAAAGGCCUGUUAGAAAGAAAAUCAAAGAAAAAUUACUUAUCUAGUUCCAUUUUACAAGCCUUUCUGCUAGGUACUUCUAUUUAGAUCUAUUUACAAGGUUGAUCAAACACUUGUGAAAAGCACUCAGGAACUAUGUGACAGUGAUCAGAAGUAAGAUAAGCAUAUACAUGACAACUCUCAAGAAAGGUUCCUAUAACAAACUAAGCAGACUGUCAUUUACUAAUUGCACAGAAACUUUGACUAAAUGUUCAAAAUUCAUGAUUUGAAGGGUGGACAGUAUGUAAAUUACACUGCAUUUACACAAGUUAAUAUUGUUUCCCUUCUUUAGCCGUCUUGGGUAAUGUUCCUCUCAAUCUUUUACUAGCACUAGUAGGUAAGAUCGCCCCUAUCUUGUGUUGCAUUACACACCUUGAAGAGUUUGAUUAAACAUAUCUACAAAAUGACAAUAUAGAAGUAAACAUUUCCAAGAGUUUCCCCAUAUAUAUUUUGUCCUACAAGAUCCUCUUCAGAAAAGUAAAGCAAGCAUCAUAUAAAAAAUUAGGGAAAUGGUAAAUGUUAAAAAAGACAGAAUGUACUUGAUCCUUUGUACUCUGAAAAUCUGCUAAAAGGAUCAUUCCAUAGGAUGAAGAGGGAACAUAAGUAUACAGCCAAUUUAUGUGCAGGAACCCAAAUCUGGAGGGCAAUAUUAAUCUCUAUCUUCACACCUAAUUUUCACUGAAAAGGGUCUCAGAUUGAAGAUAUAGUACAAUUUUAUUCUUAAAUUUUUUCUUCUCUUAGACCAUUGUUUGAAGAGGAUGUGUCAAAUUUUAAUCUAAACAUGCAUUUUUUCUCAAGAUGUCUGAUGUCCUGACUGGGUCAAGAACAAAAAUUUUGGUGAUAUUUCUGAAGAGACAUGUCGGGAGGAGUAGCGUGUCAGUGGCUAGUCACUUACCCAUUCCCAGCAAAAUCAAAGCGGAAGGCACUAAUUCCUUCUUUUUCAAAAGCAGCUGCUAGAUUCACCAUGGGAAUGCGAUCCUGAAGUUUAUGAGAAGGGAACAACAUUAAUGGAUUGAAUGAUCAAGGUAGUCCUUAGCAACAAAUAUACUGUAGCAAUCAAAAAGUAAUGAUACAAUGAAAUUGAUUUAGAAAUGGGAUCUUCCUGAUGAUCAUACAACAAAGUGCUUGUAACAAAAUACAGAAAAAAAGACACUUCAGGCUCCCAACACAUACUUACAAGAACAUGUUACCUCUCCACUGUUACACACUUACAAAAAUUUUGAAGAUUAUAAAAACUGUAUGUGAUUUGAGUGUAUAAUAUCAGGGAUAUAAUAAGACCAGGCGUUUAUGUUUUAGACAAGUUCAGGCAGGCAGGAAAAUAGACUUUUUUUUUUGGAGCAUGGGACCCGUCAACAUUCCUUCUUCAGAAGUUUUGGCGAAUGCCAUCUGUAAGGAGGGAUGCAGAUAAAAUGUUUGUGCAUAUGACAUGCAUCUAAAAAAAAGUUUUGUUAUUUUCAAUUCAUCUACAGCACCAAAUGGGAUGGAGAUUGCAAAAUUUUUGCAAAGAUGCUCAUCAGAUAAUGCUGAAAAUGAGAUUGCAGAUAAUUCCACCAAGUAAAUAAAGAAGCAAACAGAGCAUUAGAGUGGAGAACUACCAAAAUAUAGAAAACUUUCUCAUCCUAAAACAUCCAGUUAUAGAGAUGGCAAACACCAACCUUUGAAGAUCUAAAUCCAUGACAGAUAAUCACAACCUCCUUCGACCCCGUUUCAUGCAAUAUCCCCACAAGCUUCUCACCAUAUCUGUUCUGUAUACGUACUCUCUUUUGUUCAUGGGUCCCUGCCAAGAAGUUAACAAAGAAAUGAGUCCUGAUCACCUCAAUAGGUCACCUAAAUCCAGCAAGUUGCCAACUUUUAGGGGAUCAUCACUGACAAGUGAAUUAACUGAAGAACUCUGUAUCAAACAUGUCUCGCUAUAUGCACCGGGACCAAUCCCAAAAGAGACCCUGAUAAAAGAGCGAGAGAGAUAAAAGAGACCCUGAUAAUAUUUUUUUUUGCAAAAUUGUGGGAAUUCCCCAUAAAUCAAGAAGCCAAUAAUCAGAACCAAUUCCAGCACGCAAAAUUACACAAGAAACCAGGAAUAGCUAAAAGAAGAUAAUUCAUUUUGUAUAGAACCCAUAAUUUGUACAAAGUAGAAAAUGCUACGGAAGCCGUGAUCACCAGCAAAUUUGAUAAUGUUUGAACAUUUUCUUGAAAGGUUCUGCAAAAAGCAAUCAACUUUCUGAUUGCCCCCUUCUUCUUGUACCCCAGUCUCUCAAUUGUACUAUAUAGUAUCUUUUAUUUCUUCACUUAUUUUUGUAUUGGUGUGUUUACCUUACACGAGAAUAUUAAUGGACCUACCCGGCUGGUGGCUGCUGUCGUUGUGGUGGUGAUGGUGCUCUUUGCCUUCGUGGACUGCCAUUUUAGCUCCUGUAUUUGACCUUUCUGGAUUACUACAAUGAUUCAACUAUACUGCUUUUCUGCUCCUGCAACUUUUCUUUUUUUAUUUAUUUAUUAUUAUUAUUUUGGACAACCUUGCAGGACCCAUCGCUUACGAGCAAAAUAACUACCCUUGUUUGAAAAAACAAAAAGGGAAAAUUUUUUUGUAUGUACACAUGUUUAUGUGGGAUGAAGCGAUACAACACGAGUUGGAGGAAACCUACCUAAACUAAAAGGAUAGAAAGAGAUGGGAAUUCGAACAUAAUUUUUUUUUUUAUAUCAUAAACACGUUUUUUAACAUAUUUUAAUAUCUAUUUAUGUCAUAUAUAUUGUAUCAUUAAAAUAAGUACUACAGUAUUAUUCUAAACUUAUUAAUAAAUCAUUUCUUUGAAUGGUAUAACAUCUACCAUGUUCACGUAAAAGUGAGUUUUUAUAAGAGUGAACGCUUGAAAUAAGCGUUUUUUUUAUAUAAGUGUUGAAAUUCACUUUUUUUAAUUUCAUUUACUACUAAUAUGGGAGAGAAGUUUAAACAAGUAUUAAUUAAUUUUGGGGCAAGAAUGAGUUGGAUAGUUCAAAAGAAAGAAUAUAAGCGAUAAGUUCCAGUUUUAAGCCCUUCCAUUUACAUAAAAAAAAUUAUUAAUUAAUUUUAUUUAAGGUCACCUUGCAACUGUCCCUACGUAUAGAUCACGUAGAUGUCUAAGAUAAACAAGUAAUUCUACCAUCCCUUCGUAUUAAAUGGCGCGGCAAAAAAAAAAAAAGACGUUUCUUUAAGAAUGGAAUUCCAGAAGUGGAGAGGUGCACAGGAAAAUACACAGAAAAGUAGACAGCUCUUUGAUCGAGGAGCACCUCCUUAUCAAUGGAUUGACAAGCCAAGAAUCCAAAAUUCGAUUUCAGUGCCUUCAAUUGCAAACCAGCGUCCUUGAACUGCUGGUCCUAAUUGUGAUGGUUGAGUUCUGAGCAGGAGGAUCCUGCAUUCACUUUGCAAUUGCCAGUUGUUAACGAUCCCCAUUCAUGUGGCAACUGUUUCUAUUUUUGUUCAAGUUUUUUAGUCAUAAUUUUCACUCUUUCUGCGUAUUUCUAGCAUGCAAACACCAUCAAAUGUCUGAAUAUUCUCAUAUGACGGAUCCUUAGUACGCAAAUCUUUUCACUAACAGGUUGGAAGGAAGCAGUCUAAUCUAGACUUAAAUGAGUUAAAAGAGCCAAAUCCUCUUAUGUACUCGUUACACUAAUCCCGCAUUUACACCCCUUCUAGCCCUCGCCAGGCUCCAAUACAACCUUCCGCAGAUUCUACAUUUGUAUAGCACAAAACAAGCACGUGGAAAGAUUCACCCGGACUUGUUAUCUUAGACUAAUAUUGCUGACCAAAGCAUCUCGAAAAGAAAAUUUGCAGAUUCCUGAUUUCGAAUCGCAAGACAAACAGAGGCCAAUGGCAUGGAAACCAUUUUCUACCGCCUGAAUACAAAAUGUAUAGCAAACAAACUGGCCUUGCCAAGGCACUAACAGCAUCACAAGGACCAUUCAAGAAAUAUAGCUACAACCACAUUUCUCAACAAUGCAGCAUCAUGUUGACUGAGAGUUACACAGUACAUCCACUGCACAGCAGGAGUCCAUCUAUCGAACUAACAAAAAUGCAAUAAAGAAUAAGAAAAUAAAAAAUAACAGAAAAACAUAAUGCUAUACUGAACCCACUGUUAGCUAUGUGGUCAAGUAGGGAGAACGGACGAUAAAAAGUCAUUGAAUAGAACUCAAUGUAAGUGGUACACCGAAAAUAGCACUCCCUGCCAUUCAUCUUCUACACAUUCCAUUCAAAAGCAUACAUAAACAUCACCUUGGAGUCCGCAAUUAGCUACAUUGUUUCUCACAGGUUAAAAGGUUUCCAUGUGAAACACAAUAUGCACAUUAAACCUGAUAGUUAUGAAUAAGGGACGGGAUUGACCUGUGCAUCUCCUCCAUGCUACGAUCCAACAGGUGCAAUUCCCUUUGCCUUGGCUGCAGCAGUUGCUGCUGCAGCUGCUGCAGCGGCAGCAGCAGCCGCAGAUGCUGCUGCAUUGGGUGUUGAUGGAGGAACAGCACCGGAUUGCGAUGUGCUUUGCGCGGUAACCAUUUGUUGUUGUUGUUGUUGCUUCUGCUGAGAGUUUACCUGAGCAAGCAGGGCCUUGAUCUGACUUCCAGAGAGUGUCUCAUGCUCAAGUAGAGCAUUAGCAAGUGCAUGGAGCUCCUUGCUGUUCAUGGUGAGAAUGGUUUUCGCGUUGUUGUAAGCCCUCUCCAAAAAUUGUUUUACUUCUUCCUCAAUAAGGAGCCUAGUCUCAGUGCUCAUGCUCUUGCCGUUAUCAUCAUAGUUGUGAGUAACAAGUCCCACGUUUCUGCUCAUACCAUACUUUGUAACCAUUGCUCUUGCAAGAUUGGUUGCUUGCUGCAGAUCGGAAGAUGCACCUGAAGUCACUUCAUUUUCUCCAAAGAUGAGCUCUUCUGCUACUCGUCCACCCAUGCAAACAUCCAAACGAGCAAGCAUCUGCUUACGAGAUAUACUUGUCUCAUCCUUGUCAGGUAAUUGGGCAACCAUACCAAGAGACAUUCCACGAGGAACAAUGGUUGCUUUGUGAACUGGAAGGGCCCCUUCAGUAUGGAUAGCCACGAGGGCAUGGCCACCCUCAUGAAAAGCAGUCAGCCUUCGUGAUUCAUCAGAUAUAACAGCUGAUUUCCGCUCGCUUCCCAUCAUGAUUUUGUCCUUUGCAUGCUCAAGAUCAGCCAGUGUCACAGCUUUAGCACCAUCCAUCGCAGCCUUAAGGGCAGCAAUAUUAACCAAGUUUGCAAGAUCAGCACCAGAGAAUCCGGGAGUUCCUCGGGCAAUGAUAGUCAGAUCUACGUCUUCCGCUUUAAGAACCUAUCAGCGAAAAAAAAAAUUUCGGAUUAGAAUCCCCUGCUGAAAUUUCCUUCUCCCAAAAUGUAGAAUUGUCUAAGGAAUGCGCUAAUCAAAGAUAAUUCAAGUAUCAGCCAUGCAUGUCAGAUGGAUGUUAUCCAUAUGCGCAUCACUAUAAUGGCCAGUACAUCAACCAGUAACUUGGCGUAGGAAAGAUUAGCAAAGAUCACCCAUAUAUGUCUUCAAGUAAGUUACAUAUGUAAACUAUAAAGAGAAAUAUUGCAAAAAAGGAAACUUUCAAAUGAAGUACAUGGUGCAGAUGCUUAUGUAAAUUAUGGCAUAUCAAAUGGGAAAUUUGCUCUUGCACAAAAGGAAACAUCCAAACAGAAGUACACAAAGCAGGAGCUUGCCUACAGCACCAGAAUCACGUAUAGGUGAGCAAACGAGUAAUGACCAGCUAGUAUCUCACAACUGAUCUGUCAGGGAUUGAGCACGGCAGAGAAAUACACUUCACCAGGCAAACAAGGGUAGAGAAUUUGAAAUAAGAGCUUAGUGGAAGGAAUUAGAUUGAUUCAUCGAGUUGGUUUAUGAAACCUGUGUUGACAUGGAAUGGGGUGUGGUACGUGGCCAAAAAGAAGAAAGAACAAAGUACAAAUCUUUGCACAAAUCUACAUUGCAAGACUUGAAAAAUGUCUUGAAAAUGGCCAAGGAAAAACACAAGCCACUAAGCCACUAAAAGACUCAGUAGAAUUGUUCUCUUGGACAAAGUCAAUCAACAACAGGCAGAACAAAAAUAACUUUUUGGAGACAUUGCAAGACUUGAAAAAUGUCUUGAAAAUGGUCAAGGAUAAACACAAGCCACUAAAAGACUCAGUAGAAUUGUUCUUUUGGACAAAUUCAGUCAACAACAGGCAGAACAAAAGUAACUUUUUGGAGUAUACUAGGGUCCUAACAUAUCUUCUUUGGCAAACAAAGCUUCUACUUUUUACAUAACAUUGCAAGGGCCCCUCCAUCUUAUUUCUGAAUUCAUCACAUGUAUCUUCUUCCAUUCCAGAUCGCCCUUUGGGAAAUAUGCACACUAAUUCAGAGCCUACAAUACAAAAUUAUCCUCAAUUCGCAAACUAAAGCUCUUUGAUUCAGUAAGUGAAAGAUGAACAAGUGGGACAAUUAAAUGAAAAAACUGGGGAAAGAGUAAAUAAGAAAUAGAGGUUUUUAUCAUCAAAAAAAGCAAAGUACCUUUGACAUAUGUGAUUCCAAGAUCUGUCUCCGUCCUUCAACAUCAGGAUUUGGAACAACAAUAUGACGAUCAAAUCGUCCAGGCCUAACCAGAGCCUUAUCCAAUGACUCCGGGAAAUUGGUUGCAGCAAUCACAAUAAUUCCCUCAUUCUGCUUGAAGCCAUCCAGUUCAACAAGUAACUGAUUCAGAGUCAUUUUCAUGUAUUGCUGGUCCUUUGGGUUGCGGCUCCCACCUAUGGCAUCAAUCUCGUCAAUAAAUAUUAUACAUGGAGACCGUUUCUUUGCAGCAGCAAAGAGAUCUCUAACCCUGCGGGCACCAACACCAACAAACAUUUCUUCAAACUCACUGCCGCUGCAAGAGAAAAAGGGCACCCCAGCUUCUCCAGCUAUAGCCCUUGCCAGCAUAGUCUUGCCGGUACCUGGGGGACCAACAAGUAGAACACCUUUUGGGAGCUUACCGCCAAGUCGAGUGAACCGCUGCAAUAACAUAAAAGGUGAGCAUAAUGAAGUCUGCAACGCUUCUUGACAGUUUAGGAAGGCUAAUCUAAAAUCAUUAAAAUCAAAGUUCUCUCCCAGAAAAUAAUUCUAAUAUCAUGUCAAUUGCUUGUUGAUCAAGAACCAAAUGAAGGGCAAAAUUUAACCAAAUUUAGGUAGCUAAAUAAGGCUUUGUAGAUCCAUAUGAAUAUUCUAACUUUUGCUAAUGGAAAGAAGGAUGCAAGAAAAACUAUUAACAACUGCAAAUUAUAGAAGUUUAGAUAUUCUGCACAGAAAAACAGAAAAAAUGCAUGAGUUAUUCACUCACAGAUUCAUGUGAUUGGAAAGGGAGGUGAGCCAGCCACCCAAGAGAUUGUUACAGAUCAGAAAGCACAAGCUGCAAUUACCUUAGGGUCUCGAAGAUAGUGAACAAUUUCUUCAAGCUCAGAUUUGGCUUCAUCAACCCCCUUUACAUCACUAAAUUUCGUAUUAGAUUCCAAACUAGGGUGCACCUCUUCAUUCAGACCCAGUCCUAGUAGAAAAUGGUAAAGAGCAUUAGUCAGCAGAUAACCUUUUGUUUGGUUACAGAUUCAUCACCCAAAACCACAACAAUAACACAAAAAAAUUAUAAUAAUAACAAAUACAAUAAAAUAAUCUAAGACCUUCCAGCAAAGCUCAUAACUACAAGUACCUUUACUAAUCCCUCUAUCUUCGAUGAGUGCACCAAUGCCUGAGAUUAGAAGGAAGGCCAUACCAAGAGCACGGACUGUCCGCCAUAACUGCUCCUUAAAAUGGCCCCCUUCAGCAGCCACCAUAUGUAUAGGUGCACUAGCAGUACCAAGAACACCUUCCUUUGUAGAUUUCCCCACAUUCCUAAAAGCUGAAAGACCUCCAACCAUUUCUUCUUCCACCUGGGAGCUAGGAGCACCUGUAAUUCCUGUAUAACAUACUUAUCAAAUUCCUCAAACCAAUGAAACGUCACAGAAUAUCAAAACUCUUCAGUGGUAGAACUAAUCAAGAUAUGCUACAAGAGUAGUAGACCUGGUAAAACUCUAUCCAUGUAUGUAGACCCAAUCAGAAAGAGUACACCACAGAAAGGCCAGAGAGAAGAUAAAAAAAAUAAAUUAAUUAAAAAAAAAUAAUGACACUAGCCUCUCUGCAAUGUCUUGAGCAGCUCACUUUCGUCCAGCCUAUCAACCUUAACCAGUGCCUUGACAUACUCUGCAAGCGCUGUUGGGUUAGAGUGCAGUGAGGGUUGGCUUUCGAACACCCUAAUGACUGCCUCAGGCUCGUUUCGAUGAUAUAGCUCUUUGAGGUAUGCAGCAUCGCUUAAUUCAUCACUUCUCCGAGCUAGGCUAGCAGCAUAACUUGAUCGAAAUCUUUUGGUGUUCCCAAAUGCAUAUCCUGCAAGAAGAAAUGGAGGGAAGGUGAAGAGGAAUGCUUCAAACUUGUGCCAAUGAGCAAGUAAACAAUAUAACCAAGGGAAAUUCAAGAGGAAUCAUCCGCCAUGCAUCAAUUUAUCUUUCAUCCAAAAAUCGGCAGAAUAAUAUUAUUGCACCACAAUCAGAAAACAGGGAAUCUGCCAUAUCAACAAUAAGCGACUUCGAUUGCGUACCUAACUCUUUCUGGGCAUUAGGUGAAGUGCGAUAAGCUCUAACUAAUACAUUGCUCAGUUGCCCCAACUGCGACUGCUGUCGUUGAACCUGUUAUAACAAAACACAGGUCCUAACACAAUUAGAAUGAAAUUUCGCACAUAUGAUCAACAUGAAACCAUUAUUAUCAGAGCUAAAGCUCAUAUAACCAUCCCUCCUUAUCCACAUCAAUCGGCAAAAGUCACACCUACAAUACAACCAAAACAGACCUAGAAAAAGCUAACUAGAGUCAUAAAAAUGGAGUCUUUCCAAAACCCAUAUCAUUAAUUGCACAAAAAAAAAACACAUAAAAUCAGCAACUUUCACCACUUUUAAAAACAAAAAAUAAAAAAAAUUUCUUACCCAACAACCCUUUUGGCUUUACACCUAAGACUGAUAACUAAUUACUCCUAAACCCACCAAAGCUUAUACCAAACGAUUAAAUGACCUAUUUCUAGAUUAGGGCUUCAGCAUCCUAUGGAAAAAAAAAAAAAAAACUAAAAACCUUGGCUUGCAUGUUAUAUUUCUGAUGUUCAUACAAUUGAUAAUAAAAAAAAAAAAAAGUGUCAAGAACUGACCCGACUGAUAAGGCGAAUUAAAGCCAUUCCCUGUCCCCAAAAGAGGGCUAAUCUCUCUUUCGCCAAACUCUUCCCCUCCCCCUUUCUUUUUCUAAAUCAACUAUCCCUAUCCCUAAAUAUAGAAGUGUAAGUUAUUCGGAUAUUUUUGGAGUUCAGCAGAUACUGCAACUCAGGAGAGGAGGGAGGGAUGGAGAGAGAAUAGAGGGAGCUGGGGAGUGCAACCAGAGAUGGAUUUUUUCCCUGGAUCAGUAAUUUUUAAUGGGCAAAACUGAAGAGAUUUUUUGUACGCAUAUGAAUAAUCCUCAUAAAUCAUAAUACCGUAUAGUAUAGUAAACUUUGGUAAUAUUUGACCUCAGAUCUUGGGAUUUGGUGAGGAAGUGUCCAUGGCUUGUUUAAGUGGACCGGUUCGGUAUUAGAACUUUGGGGAGAACGGCCGAAGAUGUUUGUGGGCUUUUAUUCUCCAAAAAACAUCAAUGCUUAGGCCCGUCAACAAGGCCUUGUAAGUGAGUCAGGCUGUCCACAACCUUGAGGUUAAACUUUAGCCCAUUGAACAUUAACAACAACCAAGUCCAAAUUCAGCCCAUUCACUGCAUCAGGCUUUGGGAUGAGAUGAGAAAGGACGGAUUCAAAGCAUUUUUAAGUCGAACAAACCCAGUUGAGGAAAGAAACAAAACCGAGAAGUUUUUCUUCUCAAAUUCGUAGUGAAUUCUUGAUUGCAUGUUGUUAUUUCUAUAAUUAUAUAUACGCAAAAUGAAGAACAUUAAUCCGAAAACAAAUGCAUUUUAUUUAUGUAGAAAGGGCAGGGCCUCAGUGGGCUUAGGCCUGUUAGUUACUUUUUAUAAGUUUUGGAGUGGACAUGUCCAAAUUCAGUUCACGUAAACAAUUACUGAUUGUUGAAGUCCAAAUUCAGCUCAUAAGUGAUAUGAGGUACAAAUGUGGCUCACAAGGAAGUAAUUACGAUUGUUAGGAAGUUUUGUUGUCUUAAGCAUAAUUUUCACAUGUUAUUCUAUUUAUUGUGUGAAGAUUAGACAAGUCAUUUGGCACUCAGCGAGAGGAGGUAAGUGCAUGCACAAUCUGCAAUCAUGACAAACCUCAAGGGAGAUUUGUACACAAUCCCUUUUUAGUAAUAAAGUAACAAGUCAUUUUCUUAAAAAUUAAUAAAUCUUGAGAAUGAAAUCGUUUCUAUGCCGACAGGUUAAGAGAAAAUCGUUUAAAAUGUUUCACAUUUCGUCAAAUGAAUCUUUUCAUUAUUUACUUUCAAAAUGAUAACUUCUGUCUCUUACAAAAUUGAAACAGUAAAAUUUGGUCCCAAUCUAAGUUUUUUAUCUUUUUUUUUAACCUUGAAUCCAUUAAGCGAAUCAACAUAGUCAUUUUUUAGGGAAAAAAAAAAAAGGUAAGAUACCAUUUAUCGUUAAAGCAAAUGAUCCGAUCCAUAUUCAAUUUUUUUUCCUCAAAAUAAGUGAGAUUAGACCCAAAUCAUAUUCAUUUUUUUCAUUAAAAAAGUGGGAUCUGAUCUUCUUGUAGACAAAAAAUGAUUGCAUAUGGAUGACGUAGUGAUUUCAAGAUUAAAAAGUGAUCAAAAAUUUAAGUUGGAACUAAAUUUUAUUGCUAAAAUUUGUAAGGAAUACAAAGUUAACAAAGUGAAGGACGAUAAAAUUCAUUUAGCCAAAUGUAAGGGACAUUUGGAACUAUUUCUGUUUCAUUCUAGUUGAACUAACACUAGGAUUAACAAAGUUAUUGCAUUAAGACAAAUCUUACCAUUAACAUUUCAAGAAAUACUUAAAUUCAGAAAAUUUAGAUGAAUCAUUCUUUAAGCGUCGCUGAUGAUACACACUCUACCAUGUCAUUGCCAACAUUUGAAAAGUUAGGGUACCUUCCCUUGUCACCCAACAUCUACCUGCCUCACACCGAGAAGCUUCCCUGUCGGCACGCACAUGUAUUAGUAUUACACCGCCUACGUAAAGGUCACCCCCAUGCUCAUUCAUCUUUUCUUAUAUCAGGGAAGCAAUACACCAGCACAGGAAGCUUCAAUAUUCAUAAUUUAGCCAAAAAACAAAGAGAAACUUGUGCCGAUGAUGAUCAGUAGAAGUUGCCGUGUUCCAAUGACAAAACAUCAACGAUUCCCGAGCCGAGAUAUCUAUCUUGAUCUUUGUGGGAUUUUUAAUCCCAGGCUCAAUCUGCAAUCAACUGAGAGAGGAAAUGCUAGUUUCAUUACCAAGUGAUUAAGGGUUCAAAAAUAAUUCCUCAUGUGUGAUACUUUUACCAAAUGUUUUAAGGGCCUAUUUGGUUGGCAUGCUAAAAGUUACAAAAUGAUAAAAGGAAUGCAAUCGCGGAUAUGCAAAGGGAACGUAAGAACAACUUUGAUUAGAAUUACUAUCCAACUAUUACCUAUUUUUCUUCCUUCACUUGGGCUCCAUUGAUUUGCUUAAUUUCUUGAGUUGUGCACAUGUAGUAUUAUAUGCAUCUCUCUCCCAAGAGAUCCAAAUCAUUAUUGUUCAAUGCGACAGAAAAAAAAAAACAAUUUGAUGCUUCAAAGAAAAGGAAGAUACUGUAAUGUACAACAAACUAUCCAAUCUAGUAAAUUAUGCGAAUGCAGUAGUCGAAAUAUGUGCUUAGAAAAGGGAGAUAUUAAGAAGUUGUAAUGUACUACAUGAGGUAGUUAGCUAUACGCAAAAAACUUUGUAUCAAGAAAUAAUCAUUCGUUAGUUGUUUAUCAUUCUGUAUGAUAACCUUUUACAAACUAAUAUUUUGCAUUAAGUUCUACAUGGCCAACUGCAAAGAACUUAAGGUGCAUUUACGUUCGAAAAAUUGUACAACAUUUUUUUUCCCGGUUUUAGAAUGUGGAGGGCAAUUGCGAAGAAGUACAGUACUACAACCUUGUCUGAGUCUAUGACCUGAGGUAGAAUCAGAAUAUUGUUCUCAUAAUUUUUCAUGGUUUUUUCUACCAAAUUAAAGCUUUACUCUAGCUUUUGUUUUAUUUGAUACUUUUUUUUUGAAUUAUUUUCUUUUCAAUGUAAGUAAAAAAUCUCGAAUUCAAGAUUUCUCACUUAUAUUCCCUACUCAUGUACCAUACAGCCUAUCCCUCUCCCUAGUUUUAUUUGAUACUUUGAUAGUCAUUUGGAAUAAAUUUCAUAAGUCUAUAUAUUUUGCUUUUCAGGGAAUAAUUUCCCAUAAGAAUUUCCCACGAAAAUGAAAAAGAAAAAGAAAAAGAAAAAGGUUCCCAUGAGAAUUCACUUACCCAAGUACUUCUUCCCUUAUAAAGAAAGCAACAAGGGUAAAAUAAAGCAAAUUACCGGAAAAUAAUCACAAAAAGAUGUCUAACUCGAGUGGUCACUCCAGAAUUAACUAAUAUUGUCGGACGUAGUAGUAGGUAUUAAGAUUCUAAUUUGACUGCCAGAAAGUACUACUCCGUCCGUCCCACUUUGAUAGUCCUGUAUUCCUUUUUCAUCUGUUCCAAAUUGUAAUUCACUUUCCAAUUGAAAAAUGUAAUUGUAUUUUAAAUUUUCUAAAAUACCCUUAUUCAAUGUAAGUAGUUGUUACUAUAAACCUACCCCAUUUAAUGAGAGUUGAUUCUUUUUUUACCGUCAAUUCAAGUUCCCAUAAAGUUGUACCAUAUUUAAUGUGAGGGUAUUUUAGAAAAAUAACAAUCUAAAUUUACUUUUCUAACAAAGUUAACUAUUUUUUCUUAAAUUGUGUGAAAAAAGAAACAGGACUAUCAAAUGGGACGGAAAGAAUAGUAAUCAAUGAGAUGUUUAUUGUACCUUCUACAUAUCAAUCUGAAACCUUUUGAUAAGCGGAUUGGAAAAAAAUAAGUAUAAUUUUCACCUUUCAAAUUCAACAGCCAACCAUAAAACUCUCUCUCUCUCUCUCUCUCUUGUCGUACCAAUCAGAGUUCAGUGCCACAUGUACAAAAAUUUAUCGAGUAAUAGUUUCAGAAACAAGGAGAAAAUCCACGAUUAUUAUUCCGGGAUGGAGUAGGUACAUUAAUUAAGAUUUUAGUACGGUUAUUGUUCAAUUAUUGAUUUACACAUAAUUUGGUGUUAACUAACAUUACUUUAUUGUAAACUUGAAUUUUGUUCAUAUACACCAACCCAAUAUAUGAAUCCAAUCACACUAAAUGUACCAAAGCCAAUUGUACACCUACCCCAAAUGCCUACAAGAUGACAAACAAAGCUUACUGGUUGCCCUUUGAUGUUUUUGUACUAUAAUGAGGAGCCAUUAAAUUGAUAAUGAUUCUUUAAUUUAGCGGCAAAACCAAGAAUCCACUUAGUGGUCUAGCCACCCUGAACAAAAAUGUAAAGAUAAAAAAGGGGUGGAUGGGGGAUGAACACACAAGAAAAUGAAAGAUCGCCUUGCUACAGUUGAAAUGGUCCUGCUAAUACAUUGUCUAACACAAAAUGACAGAUAUACCAGUACAAAAUUGCAGCAGCUAGCCAAGGAAUUAAUCUCGAUUGCAAUAACCAUAAAACCUUGUCAUUUGUAAAUGUGAAAAGAACUAGGAACUGGAGGACGGUAGCAGCACAGAUACACAUAUAUAUAUUUAUAUAUGUAUGGGACAAAAUCAACUAAUAACAAUUAACGAACAAAUUAAUAGGAAAGAAGAAAUCUCAUAUGCCCAACAUAAACAUAAUUACUUCAAACUAAAUCUCUACCAUGGUGCUGCUGGAUUGUGAUGACCCUGCUGGUCAUUGAAAGAUGAGCCACCAAGUUGAUGAAGAUCAUC
This 54104-nucleotide long non-coding RNA is filed under the name Coffea arabica (coffee). Its description in RNAcentral is "long non-coding RNA (CARA_LNC006087)". Lineage: Eukaryota; Viridiplantae; Streptophyta; Magnoliopsida; Gentianales; Rubiaceae. The record is from RNAcentral.